This 54484-nucleotide long non-coding RNA is filed under the name Coffea arabica (coffee). RNAcentral describes it as "long non-coding RNA (CARA_LNC003794)". Lineage: Eukaryota; Viridiplantae; Streptophyta; Magnoliopsida; Gentianales; Rubiaceae. The record is from RNAcentral.
UUUUUUUUUUUUUUUUUUUGAUACAAUAGUAGCUAAUCUACUCCUAAUCCUAACUCAACACCAUGUGAAGUAAGGUGUGGCCAAAAAAGUAUGAUUGAGCUAGGCGAUUAGAUCCGCUAGACUGAAGGUACUAUGGGAAAUGGGUGGCAAGAAGGGUGCAUUUGAGCAUCUUCUGGAUUAAAUGCAAACCCAGAAAUUCGACCACCUAAAACAUAAACUAAUAAAGAAUUUAAAGGUACUAUUACAUACUCUGAUAGAAUGACAUAUAUCAUUAGUAGUGCAAUUAAUUCAGAAGAUGCUCAAGUGCUUUUAAUUCAUUUUGCACAAACAAUUGUUAGAAUAGGAGAUGUCAGUUAAUCUAAAGUUGGUACAGGAGAACUAAAAGUUGGGGGAGGGAUAGUUUAAGUAAAAAAUAAUUGUUAGGAUAACCAUUCUUUGAUGGAUUUGGGUUUAUUUCCUUCUAAACUUUUUUGCCUAAAAAGUUGUUAGAAUUCGAGGGCGAUUUAAUAUAAGAUUGUCAUUAGAGCAUUCAAAGUGGAUCAAAGGGGUGUUUAAGUGAAAUAAAAUUUUUAGAAUAUCAAAUUUUUAGUUGUAUGAAAUUUUGGUAGUUAAUCUACUAAAUUUUUUUCGAAUAAUUGUUAGAGUAGGGAGGGUAUUCUAAUAUAAAGUUGGUAUAGAAGGACUUUAAAAAAAAUUGGAGGGUAGGAAAGGGGGUUUAAGUUCAAAAUUAACUCCUAAAUGGGAAUUAUCUUUAUUGAUGUGAGGACUCGAAAAUCUAUUAUUUUAAAAUCCCUAAUUUUGGCUUAAUUAAUUAUUUAUUUGGAUUUUUGCCACGAAUAAUAUUUUCUAGCCUUAUUAGACAUAAGUACGUGGUUUUAAAGUUUCGUUAUAUUUUUAAAGUGUCUCGUUUCAAAAAUUAUUUUCUUAAAAGCUUGAUUAGUGGAAAAGUGAAAACGUGUCUGAAAACUUUAGCCAAUUGGAAGUACAAUAAGCUUGAAAAUUUGGAGACAUGUACAAUGGUCCUAAAAUAGGAAAUUUUAGGUUUAAACACUCAAGUGAUAGUUAGUAGUACGAUCGUUAUAAGAAUUUCACGAAGGUUUCAUUUUAUCGCGCCUAAAUUGGAAAUACGCGUUUUCACGCGCACGCUUAAUUGAGGGACUUUGGACCAUUAUUUUGGGACAAUUAAGAAUGAAUAAUAUUUAUAUGAAUGUAAGUGCCUUAGAGGUUUAGUGCACUAGUGCAACAAAUUUAAAAUAAAUCGAGCACAAAACACGAGCGUAAACGCACUAUUUGCGGUUGACUUUUGCGCACCUAAACUAUUAGACGUUAAGCUUUCUUUGUACGCCAAAUAGUCAGACCAAACAUCUCAUUUCUCCAAGCUUCCAUGGCCGGCUAGCAGCUGCAAAGAAACAACCAAAACUCUUCAACAUUUCCCUCUACAAAUCUCUACCCAAUUCUCUCAAAUUUUAACACUACUUAGCCUAAGACUUGGAGUUCAUAUCUAGCUAAAAGGGGGGACUUUUCACGGCUCACUUAGGAGCAAGGAGGGACCGAAAUUUCUGAGUUGUUCAUCAACUAGAGUAAGUCAUGAUCAAGCUUUCUAAUUUCAGUUUUUGCAAGUUCUAGUAUACCUUUUAGCUCUUAAUUUCCUAUGGGUUGUUGUUGUUGUUGAAAAAAAUGGAAGGUGGGCUCUAUGAACUCCCACCUCUGUCUUGAUGGCUGAUAUGGUGAUUGAUGCUAUUUAUAAUGUUGGUUUAGUGUUUGAAAUGGUGGAUUAAUAGAGUAUAAUUAGCAGAAAUCUCAAGGAACUCAUGGAAUAGAAAUUUCUGAUUUUGCCCCUGCCCUGUUCGGUUAUUUUAAGGCCAAUUUUAGAUGAUCUAAUGGCUUGAAUAUGAUGUUUAUAUGUUGUAUUAGUUGUGUAAAAAUUUUCAUUGGAAAAUAUUGAAGUUUGGUUGGGCAAAUGAAUUUUUUUUUGUGAAACUAGUCAAGCUGGAAAACUGUUUCCGUGUAGCUCUGUCCAGCGAUAGUGUUUCGGCCGUAACUUUGUCCUCCGACGUCGAAAUCGAGUGUCGUUGGUGGCAUUUGAAACUAGACAUCCACACCUUUCCAACGGUAUAAAAUGUACGUUUUGGUUCCAAGUGUGUGAGCCAAACCAAUCGUUUUAAGAAGGCUACCCUGUUUCUCUGUUCUGCUGAAAUGAUUUGAUGAUGCUGCAACUUUAGGCUUAAUUUUGAGCCAGUUGCAUGCUGAAACUUAAAAUGAUUUCUUCUGUGAAAUUAUAGCCCUAUGAAUGUAUUUUCCAACACUAUCAAACAUGCUCAAUUCCGAGUUAAAUUGAGUGAGUCAUGAACAAAAUUUGGUGACUGUUUUGUUCUUGAAAACUCUUAGAUUUGGACAGAUUAGAUAUGAGACUUGUUGUGGUCUUACUAAAUGAAUUUCUUGGUGCUAAACACCUACCAAAUGUACCAUGUAUGCUCCUUAGACUUUUCUUGCACAAAUGAACCAUGUUUGGAGGUUUUCCUUAGCCGAAUGUUUGGAAACGGAGAGAAAUGGAGCUAAAGGCAGUUUUGCCUUAGUAAUUUCAAAACUUUGGUUGAUUGGUUAACCACCUUCCCGAAGGUAUUUUUCCACGAAAUUUGAUAGAGAGAUACCCUUCAUAUAGGAGUACUAUACUGCAAAAUUUGGUACCAAUCCAAGUCCGUUUCGACACUUAACUAAAGGUCCAAAGUCGGAAACCCAAAUCUGGAAAUUUGUUCAACAGUCUUGAAUUUUUCCCAACUUUGAGCUACCAUAUCUGGGUGCUCGAAACUCCGAGUCUCGAUCCGCUUGUUCUGUCCUAAACCUUACUUUCACCUCUAAUUGAUUUAUAAAUUUCAAGGGCUGGUUUACAACGAGUGAAUUCUGCCGAAUUUCCAAAGUUAGCGAAAAACCAACCCCGGCUCAAUCCUGGGUGUUCUGGAACAGUAACUUUAAGCUCAUUUUUGAAUACCUUCCACUUAGAUUCAUGAAACAGUGUCUUCUAAGAACUUUUAGUACUUUCCAAGAGGUUUCCAACGGUAUAAAGUUUUCCAAUUUUAGACUUGUAUCGAGUGAGAUACGAUUUUUUCAAAGAUCCAUAUCAAAACUGAAAUUUUCCAACUUUCAAGGAAAUAGAGUUUUCCAAGAACUCUUUAUUCUUUCGACAUUAUGCAAACGUUUUAACCUCGAUUUCCAAGAUAAAAAUCCAAAUGCUCUUGUACUUUAAGAAACUCUAAUUGAAUCUCGAUUUACGAGUAAUUGAGAUUCGAUUUCAUGAAAUUUCCUUAGAUUAUACUGGUGUACAAUCUUCCUUGAUAAUUGGGAUAUAGUGUCAAGUGUUUGACUAUUUGAACUCUAUGGACUUGAUUACAUGCUUAGCCUACUUGUUAUUUUGAAAAUGGAGUCGAGUGUGUACUUUAUCGCACUCGUUCUCAUUUGAAACAAAUGACUCAUACUUAACAUGAUUUGCCUGGUUUACAUGACCUGAAAUACAUGCUUAAACCUGUCAAAUGCUUGAAUACAUGACAUGGUAUGCUAUGAUUGCAUAUGUCGUUGGAGUGGAUCUCCUCGACACUUACAUGAUACAUGGGGGACGCUCAAACUCAUAGGCCGACCCUGGAACUCGAGUCGGCAUGGGCUUGGUCGGGAACCUCGGUGAGCCAUGAGAUUCACAUGAUAAGGUUGAUCUAUUGAGAGGUCUUGCUUGGCAUACUCGUGGAGUAUUGUUUUAUAAAUGUCGUGCGGGCUCGAAGUGGUGUAUGGUGGACGGAUGUGAAGUAAGUGGAUAUCUACGGUUUAGAAAUAUCAACCCGGUUGACGGAGAGUCAUCGCGGGAAGAUAUACAAAUGAAUUGGCAAAGCAAGUGGAACUUAGCUCCUGAGAGCUACGAUAUCCUUGAAUUGUUUCUGUUUACAUUUCGUUGGCUUUGUGAAUUACUUGUAAAUUAUCACUUGAACUAUUGUGUGGGUUUGAUACUUGAACUGUGUGCCUGCUUGUGUGUUCUUGGCCUCACGAGCGUUUUUGCUCACCCUGUAGAUUUGUUUUUCUUAACAGGUUUGAACUCGGAGGUGUACUGAAGAAACCCUCCUGAUGUACUUUUGUUUAGGGUUUUCUUUUACUUUUGGGCUAUGCCUUGGCUUUUGGGUUGUACUUUUGGAAUCAGAAUGUAACUUUUGGGAUUCAUGAUGUUUGUUGAACACCUGAUGUGCGGGUUGGAUACCGGAUAAUUAUUAUUAAGCUUGAAAGCUUCCGCAUUUAUUGUAUCUAAGUUAUUGACUUGUAUUGUGUGGUCCGGUAAUAAUCUUAGAUGGAAAUCGCUUGAGUCCUGGCGAGAGUUAGGCAGGCGUUUCGCGGAUACCCUUUGGUUCGCCUUAGGGAGAAGUGGGGGCGUCACAAUUGAUCUAAGUUUUUUUUUUAACAUUUUUUGUCUAAAUUAUUAUUAGAAUAUUGAGGACAAUGUAAUAUAUGGGUGGCAUAGAAGGACUGAAAAAGUAUGAAGGUUUAAGUGCCAAAAAUUGUUAAGAUAGACACUCUAGUUUGUCAAUUUAUAUUUUUUUUUCCUUCCAAAAUCUUUUAGAACAAAUAAUCCUAAGUUGUGAGGGUAAUACUUUCACUUUGCAUGCUGUGAUGGUGAAUUUUUGCCGCAUCACUUGUGGGGAAGGUAAGUGAUACUUUUAGAAUUAUAGGGGUGCUAAAUGAUAUUACUAGAAACUUCAGGGUGGAUUUUUUUUUUUUCAAAGUAUUCGACUUUUUGAACAACUUUAGCGGUUAAAAAUAUUUGAAAAGGCGGACCAGUGAUGAACAAAAUGAGUGAUUGGUUUUGACUUUAUCAGUUAAAACAUCUGAACCAUCAGUUCAAUCAUUUUAAUGUAUGUUUUGUUUGAAAAGGUUCUGAUGUGUCAGAAGUCACUAGAAAAACCAAAACCCCAUGGAGUUCGGGACUCCUGAAGGAAAAAUGGUCCAAAAGAAAUGAAAGGUUCAUUUUGACUCCUUGAAGAAAAAAAUCAUAACUCAAACAAAAAUUUGUCUAAUCCAAUGUAAACCGGCCUCAACUUCCAGAAGAGGUUUGAGGUUUUAAACCUGUAAUUAAGUUAAAUAUUUGAAUAUACUAAUGAGCAAAAUGGAUUUAAAAUUAGGAUAGAUUGGAAAAAAGAGGAACUAUGAUGAAGGAUUCGUGGCAAAUGGUAUACAAGACGAGAAUUUGUUCUACUGCUGGUUAUUCUAGUAACCUCAUCUUCUCCAACUUGCUCUCUUUUUGUGAACAAAUCUCAUCUUUUAUGCUAGGGAGAAGGAGAACGCCAAAUGGGAUACAUGCAGUGACGGAGCCAAGAUUUUUUUCUCAGGCGCCUAAAAAUUUUUCUAACAAAAUUAUUUUAAUGUGCUAUGUUCAAAAUAAUUUUCAUCUAUUUAAAUAUAUGACAUCUAAAAAUAUCAAAUAUUAACUUUAAUUAUAAAGGUAUGUUUAUUUUAAAAAUAUGCAACAUAGUCAAAAUGAAAAUUAAGACAAAAAAUAAACUUUUCUUAAAUGUCUUAUAUUAUCACAAACCACCCAAGUUGCACAUUAUGAAAGGAUACUCCAAUAUGUAGCCUAUGCAAAAUAAAUAAAUAUAUAUAUGCAAUAUAAAUAUGACUAUUUUAAUUAAAAAAGAUAAAUGUUAUGUUAACAUACACUAAAAUUUCAACCUCUUUUCUUAAAAGUAAUUUGAGUUUUACGUUCCUUUUAAAAGUAAAUUUAUCUAUGAUUAAAUCAUCGCUAAAUUUUUCAACAACUUUCUUUUCUAUGUACACAAUUAGGCAAUCAUUCAAGAAAUUAUCUUCCAUCUUAUUUUGUAACUAUCUUGAUUAUCUUCAUAAUUGAAAAUAUCUGCUCUAUAGUUAUAGUUAAUACAUGAAGAGUGAGAAACGAGUCUAAUCAAUUUGGACUAAAUUGUCUAUUUAUAUAUGAGCCAAUAAAGUAAUUGCUUUUGUUUUAGCCCAUUGAUAAUUUUGAAUUGGGUCAUUUAUUAUAAUAUAUCACAUUGGGUCAAUUUACUAUGGAUUAUUGAUUAUAUGUUUACUCUUUUAAAAGUUAAAUAACUAGCAUAAUAAAAAAAAAACUAACUCUUUUUUGAAGAAAAAAUUAAUUCAAAGGUGGCUAAUUCAUAUAUAUAUAUAUAUAUAUAUAUAUAUAUAUAUAUAUCACACUAUAAAUUAAAAUUAUGAAAAUUAGGGGGCUAACUCUGUUUUACACCCAUAUUUACACACUGUGAAUUAAAAACUUCAACACCCCUUGGAUGCAUGGCAUUAACAAUAGUAGAUUGUGCUCUCAUGCCCUAGUUCAGCUUAGAGCAAUGUUAACUCGGUGAAUAUUUGAUACAAAAAAGGUGAAUAUAAGGUUUUUCAUUCAAUAUUUAGAAUUUGUUUUGAAAGAUAGGACGUAAAGUUUUGUAACUAAAAUUAAACAAAAUGAAAAUAGAAAGAACUUUAAAGGUCCAAAUGGAAUAAACCUUAAAAGGUUAACGUAGAGUGAUUUGAUCAUUAUAAGUCUUGCCUUUGCUGUCUAAUCAAUUAUACAAGCCACAUAGAGGAACACUAUUGUAUAUAGACAAGAGGAGACUCUUCCAUUUUUUUUUUUCUAAUCCUCCCAUCCCUUUUCACAUGUAAUGGUUUCCUCGUCAACGUUAAUAUUGGUCUUAGAUGAUUGCCAGCUAAUGGUUUUGUCUAUUUUCUAAAUAUUCUUGCAUUAAAUAAGUUACAUGGUAUAGAAUAUCACAAUUAGAUGUCAAGUUAAAUGAAGAAGUAUAUAGAUUGUUCAGCAAAAAUGUCAUCCAGUUUCUUUAAUUUGUCAUUUUUAACAGGUUGAACAUUGAACAAUUAAUCACAUUGAUCAGAAAAUAAAAGAUGAAAUAGCAUAGAAAAAAAAGUUUAAGAAAAGUUACACCCUUUAGACUUUUGCUAGGUUGAAGAAUGCAAAGAAAUGCGAGUGGCUACUAAAUAGCCUCCUUUUAUUGGAUGUGUUCGCCAAAAUAUAGGUAUACAUGAAAAUAUAAUCAUGUUGAUGCAAAAUUUACCAUUUUGUUCCUAUGCACUUUCUCUAUUGAAAAGUAACACAAUUUAGAUCUUUUUUUUUUUUUUCUUUUUUGGUCUAUACUAAGUAUUUGUUGCAUGAGAGUUUUAUUGAGGAAACAACAGAAACAAGUCAAAAUCUUUUGUAUUACUGAAAGGAAGAGAAAAGUGAGUCUCGCAUGUAUGCUUGUUGUCCGCUGGUUUUAAGGAUCAUUUGAUCAUUAAUUUCAAUCCGUAGUAGCAAUGAACACUAAUAAACAUCAAAUCAGAAAAGAACAUCCUACAAACAGCAUGUGAUGGAUCAUAUCAAUCUGUAGCAGGAUUGAAGAAUAUUUGAAAAAUUGGGAUCAUGAACACUAUUAAACAUCAAAAUCAGGAAAAAACACUAUUAAACAUCAGACCAGAAAAGAACAUGGAGAACAUUUUACAAACAGAUUAUGAUGGAUAAUGUUGGCUUGAUAGAAUGCAUGACUCUGCUUGCCCCUGCAACGACAAAGUAAUACAGCUGCAUCAGGUUCAAACCAAAUAAUUUGGUACAGAUGAUGAAGAAGGGACAUGAUCAGUAAUUAUAUAUCAUUGAACUGAAUUAACAUACACAUACAAUUAUAUCUGACCUGAUGAGUGGAAUGAUCACACCAAAUCAAGGAGAGACAUUAAUGCUUCAGUCUUCACCAUUUGUCUAAUGUGAUGAUGAGAAGAAAUGGACUCUGAAAUCUACUCUGGAAGAAGGAAUAAUUGCAGUACUACAUCAGUUGAAUGCAGAGGUAUACAGAUUACCCAACAAAAUAGGUCAUCUGGUUUCUUUGAUUUGUCAUUUUGAUCAGUAUGAGCAAUUAACCACUUAAAAUGACAAAAUAAAACAUGAAGCCACACCAAAAAAAAAGUUUAAGAAACAUGGAAGAAGAUUUCGCAAAUUGGGAUUAUAAAUCCUUACAUAAGAACUACUCAACACUGAACCAGAAAAUGUGUUUCCUACUGCAAUCAGAAAUUUAUCAGAAUGUUAUGCAGCAGCACCAGGUUUAAACAGACAAAGAAUUAAGAAGCCUCCAGAAAUUGCUUCAAAAUACGCAUGAAUUAACAUAUCAUUGCACCGAUUCAACAUAUAAACAGAAGAAAAAGAUGCAUGAAUCAUUAUAUAAUUGAACUGAUUCAACAUAUGCAAAUAUAGUUUUAUCUGACCUGAUGAGUGGAAUUCCACUGUACAUUCACUCUCACAAUUGUCAACUGCGUGAUGAGAGGAAAUAGACUCUUUCUGAGGAAAUCUCCUCUGCUUUUGAGGGAGUUGACUCUGCUUCUGUAGACUCUUCUUACGAGGAAAUGGAAUGAAUUUCGAUCUUUAGAACCUCAUUUCCCAUAUCAAUCUGCUCUUGUUGAAUUUGCUCUACAGAAUCUACGACAGACUCAAGACACCCUUCCACCUCAAUCAUUUCAAGAGUCUCACACUCCCCCAAACAAGAAGGGACCUUUUCCAGCUCCUCACACCAGUUCAAGACCAAUUUCUGAAGGCGGGAAAAAUUAUCAGAAAAUGCAGUCCAGUUGCGAAAUUCCAAAUUUGACAAUUUUAAGACUCUGAGUUUAGGGAACUCCCCUUCUUUCAUUACCCAUUCUUCCCCAACAAAGCAGUAAUCUAGUAAUUUAAGCACUUCAAGAUUGGGCAACUUUCCAAUUGUUGAAAUUUCACUCCAUGGCUGACCAUUAUAUGAGAGAGUCAACUUUUUCAAAUUCAAUGGGAAUUUAAAUCCACAUCCACGAAAAACAAUCAAAUGAAGCGAUUCUAGUUGACUCAAACCAUCAAACUCAAGAUUCCCGUCGCAAUUUCUGGUGGCUUCUCUUGAUCCGUCGUAGCGUUGCCUACAUUUUAGCCUGCGAAUGCUUGGUAACUUUCUCAGUAUCUUUUGCAAGCUUUGAGGGGAGGGAUCAAUUGUAAGGUCUAAAGUGUCUAAAUGAUCUAAAUCUGGGGAUACUUCAAGAUUUUCAACUGGAAAAAUAAAACCUUGUGGCGAUACUCCAUGAUAAUUUAAAACACGUAGAUGACUCAAUGUCUUAAUGUUCCAAAUAGUACUUGGCAGCUCAAUAUCAAAAACCGGAUCUUCUACGAUAAGAGUUUCUAACCUUGAGAGGUUGGCUAUCGCAGAUGGGAUGUAUCUUAUUCGUUUGAGCGCCAGAUAUCUCAAGUGAACAAGCAAUACUACCUCCAUCGGAAAAGAAUAACCAAAGCCCAAAUUCCCAAAAUCCAACACUCUGAGAAGUUUAGGUAACAAAAUACCCAAAUCCUCCUCUUGAUGUUUAAAAUAAUCUUGUGCAAACAAGAUCAAAGAGCGUAAAUUGGGAAAAAUAAGCGUUAACUCCCAAAUCUUCAAUUCUCUGGUAUUGUGAACACAAAUUCGGUGGGAGUUGUUUGGUCCGAUAAGACUAAGAGGGGCUUUCCAACUAUGAAUAACAUAUAGAAAACUUUCUUCUUUGGCUUUUUCCACACAAAACUCGUGUACCAAAUCGUGAAGUAGACAGGCUUUGGCACCACCCACAAUUCUUUGUCCGAUAACCAUAACUAAACUUCUAUUAAUUAGAGCCAUCAAGUAGUCAUAAGCUGCUUCCUCUAAGCUCUUUCCUCCAACCUGUUGCACAAAUCUUUCAGAGAUCCAAAGUCGUAACAACCUUCGCACAUUAAUAACCUCAUCUUCUUGAAAUGCAGCAAAGUACAGAAGGCAUGGUUUCAAAUAAUCUGGUAAAUGACUAUAACUCAGCUCAAGUGUCUUCUUGCAGUAUUCAUCCUCAAGGACAAUAGAACUUAGACUUUUUGCAACUUCUUCCCAACUAUCUUGUGCAGUAGUAACAAGAAUUCCAGCAACAAGGACAAUUGUGAGGGGUAAGCCCUGACAAAGUUUUGCUAUUUGAGAUCCAACUUCACUUAGAUCUGGAGGACAAUCUUCCGUGCCAAAUAGCUUUCUCUGCUGCAAUGUCCAACUCUCUUUGUCAGUAAGAUGGCGGAGAUGGUGAGGCUCACUAUUAGGUUUGAAGUGCAAAGAUAAAUCCUGGCAUCUACUGGUGAAGAGAAUUCUGCUUCCAUUGGCAUCAUUUGGCAGUAAUUUUUCCAACAAAUUCCAUGCCUCAACGUCCCACAAGUCAUCCAAAACAAGGAGAUACCUACUUCUCAACAAAACCUGCCUUAGCUUUAUGGCCAAAUCAUUUUCAUCCAUCUUAAGAUAUUCAUCUGGACUCUUAGAAUCAAGACUACUCAAAAGUUGAACAAACAAAUUGUGUUUGCUACACGUUUGAGAAACACGACACCAGCCGCGAACAUGGAAAUGUGACCUAACUAAAGGAGCAGUAUAAACUUUAUUGGCUAAUGUGGUCUUCCCUAGGCCAGGCAUACCCACAAUGGGAACAACAUCCAAUUGCUUUGAUCCUCUCGUAAGCCGAUGAGUAAUAGUUUCCACCUCGUCGUCAAGACCUACCAGAUCUACGUCAUGCAUCGCGACAGUAAAUUGCGAUGGUAUGUGAAUGGAAGUCUUGUUAACUCUUUGGGUUUGACCAUUAAGGAUCUCUGGGGCUUCAAUCUUCAAAAGAUUGAUGUCUCUAGAAACGGCAUCCAAAGAAUCUUCACAUUUAUCACCAACAAGUGCCAAGUCAAUCAGUAACUCUACCUUGUAUGCAGCCUCCAUAACAUGACUCCAGAAAGCUUGAAGUUUUCCAUUCUGAUAGCGCUGCUCCUUGAUAUUUUCCAGGAAAGAUCUUAAGAAUACGAGAUCUUUUUGGAUCGCUUGGAUUCUAUGAUGUUGAAUACCAAUUGAAUCAUCAGCCUCAUCACACCUUGCUAGUUCCUUGAGAUUUUCUAGGAAAAAAUCCAUACAGCCCAACUCAUUGGAUCUAGGAUAAUUAAAUGAUGGAUAUGGUGAUUUUAAUGGAAAAUUGUGUGCAACCUCUGCCACCAUAUAUUUGAGAACUUUGUGCAAAUGAAACACCCCAAGAUCUGUUUCCUCAGGCAAGCCUUCUUUGAUUUCAUUGACAGAAAGGGAGAAGGUCAAAAUUGCUACAUCAGAGACCACCACAGCUCCAAUAAGAUCCUUCAUUUCAUCACCUAGUUUCUCCUCCUGUUUAAGAAGGAUACCCAGGCAUCUUAUUUCCUCAUGGAGUCUUAGUAUUUGAUCCUUCACUGGAACCUGAAAACUGGCAUAAGAUCCUAGUAGAUCCAUAAGAUAAUCACGGAGAGAACCAACAAACUGGCCUACCACAUGAUCCUCAUUCUUCUGAAGGGCUAAAGCAUAUGAUGGUCUCGGUUGUUUCUUUGAAGCUGUCAGGACAUGGACAAAAGUUUCUCGGACUUGGAGAUCAAAAAGAUUGAUCUUCUCGUGUAUCAGCUUAUAAAUUUCAGAUUCCAAUCGAUUGGCCACUUGUUCAUCAUGGUAAAACAGACAUACAGAAAUCAGGCGUCCAGCUGCAACUACAGUGUAAGUCAAGAGAUCUGUCAGUUGCGAACAUUCAAAACCUUGCAUUGUCACAAAGCCAAUGAGAUUCCUUAAGAGUUUUAGCCUAUUUCUAAUUGUAUCCCUUAGCUCCCCAACACGUAAAACCCAAUCCAAAGUCUCUAAAAGGCACAUAAUAAGAUCCAUAACUAGUCGUGGAUCUCCCGGUGCGUAAUAGUCAAUGAAGAUGGCGGCGCAUGAUUUCUUGAGAUCCGUCUCAAGAAACAUUUUGAUCUUUUCCUUGGAUCUGGUAAUCGCACUUUCAAUGUUGGCAUGAUCUAAGUAACGACCAGAAUGAAUAUAUUGAAAAUAAGCAGGCUGAAGAUCAUGAAUCAUCCUGAUAGCCACUUCUUGAAUUCUGAAGCAAAUAAUACUGCGUCUCAAAUUUUCAGACAUAAUAUUACACCUGUCCUCGCGAUCGGGCUCCAAAAGCGCUUCGUGGUUCCUCCUCCUCCUACACUUUUUGACAUACAGAAAACAGGUUUUCAUUAAUCUUGCCUUCUCCUUCAGGUACUUGAAGUACCAGCCAUAGUAGGGCUCUUUUUCAAGCUCGGCUAGAGUAUCUAAAGCAAGAUCAAAGCAACUAGUGCUAGUGCUGGAGGAGACGAGAUGCGACUGCAGAUAAUCAUAAGAAGCAAAAUCAAAGCAAUUGGCGUUACUGCUGGAGGGGAUCUCCAUUAUAAUAUCUUCUUUUCACUCUGAUAUUAGAUAUUUAUCUGGUUUAGCAGCUGCUCAAUAAAAUCAGUUCAGGAUCCAAAACUUUCUCAUCUAAGAAUAGCCAACAAACAAUAGGCUGGACUUUUUUUUUCCCACUUUUUGUGUAAAUAUUGCAAGACACUGUACUAUCUUGUUCACAGAAGAUAUGGUGCUUCAGAACUUUGCCGGCAACUUCAGUGUAGCGCCAAACAAAGAUUCCUCCCAAUCUGAUGCAUUAUUGGUGGGCCAUGCAUGUACCAAAUUGGACACUUUUUGCAGUCACAUCAGUAAUUAGAUUACAACAUUCAUGUAAUGGUUUCUGCAUUAAUUUCAAUAUUGUUCUUAAACAAUUGCUGGCUUAUGGCUUUCAAGUUUUCAAACUAAUUGUCUAAUUUGAAUCAUAUUGUAAAUCAAUCAAGAAAUAGCUUUGCAUUAGUCUUCCUGCUACAAUAUUGUGGCUAGCGUGUAGCUCUAAUUAAACGCUUAUAGAGGUACAACUUAUCUAUAAUAUAUUAAGAGCAAGAGCCUAAAUUAGCGGAUUAGUGCAUUAGAUCUCGUAUUCCGAUAAUACCCUCUGUAUGCAAUGUUGUUUUUUUAGCUCUGCAUUAUUUAUGAUAAUUGUGGCUAUUUAUGUAAUUCAAUGUAACAGCAAGAAUGAGUUUUUUCUUUAGAAAUAUAAAUAUAUUAAACUCAGAUUUUGUUAACUUUGUUGAGCAAUAGUUGGAAAGAAAUUGUUUGUAAAGAAGUUUUAGAAAUUUCUUUGGCAAUCAAUUAAUUUUGGAGCAAGCAAGCAGAUUUCCUUGAGCAAUAGUGCAAAAAACAUUGUUCGGAAAGAAGUUUAACAAAUUUCUUUGACAAUACUUUUGGAAACUAAAGAACUUUUGGAAACUUUCGGAAACUAAAGAUUAGCAUAUCAAUAAAAUUGUGAAUGAAGGAAAUACUUGAGGAAAGGGAUUAAAAUUAAACGUUUUACAAAAGGAGUAAAUCUUAUAUAUACUUAUAGUGUAUAAACUAUCAUUGUUAGAUCUCUGACAUAUGUGUAAAAGUUGAAUUUCAAAUUCAAAUUUUGCAUAAUUGUCAUUUAUUAAAAAUGAGUUAUUAUGGAUGGAUUUUAGAAGUUUACUGAAGCUACAUUUAGAAGAAAAUUUCUUGCCAUGCUAGAUCAACGUGAGAACUCAAAAUCAACUGGCUCCUUUGGAACCCAAUUACACCAAGUAAUGUGAUUCUUGGAGCCCCAUACUGUGAAGGCAUAAUAAAGAAAUUAAACUCAUGCCUUUAGGAAAAGCUCAAUUUUCCAAUUGCUUAAACUUUGUAGAACUAAACAAAAGAUAGCUAAAAAAUUAACCUUGAGGUUAUAUUUAGUAAUAGAGUGUUGUUGACAUAAAUUUCUUUAUAGAAAAGAAAUUGAUUUGGAGCAAAACAUUGGUAUAUUUAUCUAUCUAGCUAUUUGUAAAAAAAAGUUUUCAUUCUUUUAUUUAUUUUUUGUUAAAGGAAAUCCAAUACUAAAUACGUCCUUACAUUUUUCAGACAUUUAGGCACUCAAUGUGACCUUUUCUUUCCUAUUAUCUCUUUCAUCUGUUUUUGAAUUUAAAAUAAAAAAGAAAAUAUGUAUUUCAAUUGCCAAAUUUGCUGUGUUAGGAUGUUCAUUUAAUUUGGCUCAUUCUAAGUGAAAAUCUAAAGGAGUUUCAACCGUGAUAAAAGUUUUAACCGUCCAUUUGCUCCUUUUUUGUAAAAACUGUAUUGUUUUUAAAAUACUUAAAAAUUUGUAGGCAAACAGAGAGAUUAUCCAAUCUUAGAAGUAAUAGGAUUGUUCUAGCUGAGAAUCAACAAGGUUAUGCCUACUUGUUACACAGGUUUUUUUUCCUUUUACCUUUGUUUUUUUGGGUUAGAUAUAAUAUUCCCACGAGCAGUAACCACCAAAUCAACUAGUUCACGCUCAACUAUAUUGGCAUAUUUGAAUACUCCUUUGGAAUAGAGGAAAAGAACAAGAAAAUUCAAGUUGUCAUCUUGUUUAUAGGCUAUCUUGUUCUCUUUCCACAAAAGAUAAAGUGCAGUAGUGCUUUGGGCAAAAAAAAAGCAAAAAGGCUAAAUAAGUUAGACCACAGUUUCCAGCAACCAAGACAAUGGAUGUUACUUUAUCAAAGGAACAAAGAAAGGUAUAGAUCAUCCUGGUGUUGUUAACUUUAUGACCACAUCUGAUAAAAAUUUGUCAAACUUUGGAUUCUCACCCAUUUGGUCAUAAAUUUGAGUCCUCUAUCCUAUUUCUUCAUCUCUUGGUUCCGCUUUCUUUUCCCCUUUUUCCUGUAAUAUAUAUCAAAAAGCAAUAAUACAUCUUACUGCAUACAUUUAAGGUGGCGUUUGGUUCACAUGUUGGAAUCAAAUUCGGAUUCGAAAUCGUUUAUUCUGGAUUUGGAAUGGAAUCAAUCAUUAUAAUACAUUUGUUUGGUUCAGUGCCAAGAAUGUAUAUCAUUACUAUAGUUGAUGUUUGGUUCGUUGGCUCUUUGUAAAUGGGAUAUAAGAAAUUUAGUAUAACUAAGUAAUAAUUUCUAUUAGUGAAAAUGUAUAAUUAAUAAUAUCAAUUAUAUUACAUAGAUUAAUAUAUAUUAUAUAAUACAUAUAACUAAUAAUAUUAUUAUUGUAAGUUUGUAACUAAUUAAAUUAAAUAUUAUAUAUAUAAUUAAAUAUAAAUAUACAAAUGUUAUAAUAUAAAUAUAUAAUUAUAAUUAUAUAAUAUAUACUAAUAUUAAUUAUACUAAUAUUUUAUAUAAUAUAAUAUAUAUUACAUAUUAAAUAUAGUUAUUAUUAUAUAUUAUUAUAUUUAAAAUAAUAAUAAUUAUUAUAAUUAUAUAAUUUAUUAAUAUUAUAUACAUGUAUAUAAUAUAAUUAUAUGCACAUAUAAUAUUCAUUUAUAAAUAUACAUAUAUAUCAUAAAUAUAUUAUUAUAUAAUAUUAAUAAGUUUAUAAUAUAUAUUAUAUAAAUAUAAUUAUAUUUAACUAAAUAAUUAUAAUAUAUAAUAUAAUAAUAUCAUUAUUAUAAGUUUGUAACUAAUUAAAUUAAAUAUUAUAUGUAUAAUUAAUUAUAAUUAUACAAAAUUUAUAUUAUAAAUAUAUAAUUAUAAAUAUAUAAUAUAUAAAUAUUAAUUGUACUAAUAUUUUAUAUAAAUAUAAUGUAUAUUACAUAUUAAAUAUAGUUAUUAUUAUAUAUUAUUAUAUUUAAAAUAAUAAAUAUAAAUAUAAUUUAUUAGGAUCAGGCUUACCAAGAAGGCAAGCUCUUGGUUUCAAUUAGGAUCAUGGCGCAUGGGGUUAAACAAAAAUUUCCAGAUAGGUUACAACAAGAUCAGGCGCAUGGGGUCAAUCCAAUGAAUUUUGUUAAUCGAGUAGAAGAAAUUCUAUUAGCAACAAGUCCAAAUAGAGGAGGAGUAAUGACACAGAUAGAAUCAGUAAGAAAACUAGAACAAUUAUCAAUUAGAAACUGGAAAUAUAUUAAACCUUUUUUACAAGACUUUUUAUAUUAUAGUUGUUUAGCAGGAUGUUUUUAUGAUGAAGGAAUUAUAGAAAAAUUAUUUGCAAAAUUACCAGACGACCUAGGAAAGAAAAUAUAUACCUUAUACAAAGCAACACCUAUGGAACCAACAUUAAAAAAUGUGAGUACGGCAGUAAGAUUUAUAAUCAAUAGACUAGUAGAAGAAUGUACCUUUAUAAAAAUACAAAGACAAUUAAAAGGAGAAUAUAGUUUUUGCUCAGAAAUAUACACACCACAAAAAUAUGGAGAAAAGAUAAGGAAAAAAGAAAAUAUAGAAAGCCUUAUAAAAAUUAUAAAAGAUACCCUAGAAAACAAUAUUAUCUUAGGAAAAGCAAAGUUAGAAAACCAUUUCUCAAAAAAGAACACCAUGUCAGAAGAUAUAGACCAGAAAGAACUUAUGGAAAUAGAUUAUCUUGUUUUAUUUGUAAACAACCAAAUCAUUUAGCAACAAAUUGUCCACAAAAACAUAAUUCUUUUAAUAGGGAAGCUCACUUAAUAGAAUUAUUUUCGGAAGAUUUAAUAGAAAUAGAUGAUAAUAUACUAGAGACAGAAAGUAUUUAUAGUAUAGUAUCUGAAGACUUAAAUUUAACAGAUUUUAUAGAACAAGAAGACACAAGCUUUAUAGAUGAAAUUUUAGAAAAAUCAGAAAACAGAACUAUCAUGGAUAAUAUAUAUUUAGAAGAAAUGAAAGAAGAUUUUAAAGUAUUGGAAGACUUAGAAUUAGUUGAUGUAGAAUGUAUCCAUAAAUGAGAACAUAGGAAAGGAAAUUAUAGUAAAGCAUGUUAUAACUGUAAUAAAUAUCCGUCAAUAGAAUUAAGGUUUCAAUGUCAGCUAUGUUAUAUGGAAGGAUGCAAAUACUGUUUAGAAAAGCUUGCACAGGAAUAUGUUUUAAUAGAAAAUACUAAAAAAGAAAAAAUCGAAGAAAAUGUACCUUUAGAACAUUAUUUGGAAAGAAGAAUAAGAAUUUUAGAAAAUAAGGUUGACCAAUUAGAACAAAAAAUAGAAAAAUUAAACAAAGAAAAAACAGUGGAAAGAGAAAUAUCUAUAGAAAACAUAGAUCUAGAAAUCUUUCCAGAAAUAGAAGAAAUAAAACAUAAUUAUGAUCUAGAAUUAUUACAAGCAGGAACAUCAAAUAUAACAUCCAUAGAAGUAAAAACUCGAAUAAAAAUAGGAGAUUUUGAAACACAAUUAUUAGCAGUGAUAGACACAGGAGCUAGUAAUAUAGUAAUCAACAAGAAUUAAUUCCAGAAAAAUACUAUGAAAAAGCAUACCAUAUUAGAACGGCUAGACAAAUGGAUGGAAGUACAUAUACAUAUGAUACAGCAUUACAUAAUUCUUUAUUGUUUUUUGAAAUAGAUAGCAUACACUGUACACAACCAUAUCCGGUAACAGAAAUAUAUAUUAGAAGUUUUCCUUAUCAAAUGAUAUUAGGACUAUCAUUUAUUUUACAGGCAUAUCAUGGCAUGAUUCUUACUAGAACAGGAUUAACAUUCCUUAGAAAACAUUUUUUACCAUAUAAUACUUUUUUAACAAGUAAUAAAUUUAAUAAAGAUAAUAAAUUUACAAGGCUCUUAGGACUAGAAGAAAAAGAUAAUUGUAAAUGUGAUAUAAAAGGUAGCUGUAAGAAUGAUUCAACCCAGGAAUAUAGGGGGAAGAAUCAGAAAACUAAUUCUUUUGACAAUAUGGAGAUGACUGGAGAAAGGCCUUUAUAUUCGUCACAAAGAAUUCAAAACUGUUUAGAAGACAAAGAAUUUGAAGAAUAUUUAGAGAUAGAAAAUUAUGACACAAUAGAAACAAUUUUAAAUAAUGAAAAAUUAUAUGAUCUGUUAGAAACAGGACAUAGAGAUAUAGACCAACUAAUAAGUGAAUUAGAAAAAUUAGAAAUUUUUGAAGAAAAUCCAACUAUUCAUUGGGAUAAGGACAAAACAGAAUGUAAGUUAGAUAUUUUAAAUCCAAAUUUAAAAAUUAGCACAGCAAAAAUAGAAGCUAGUAAUGAUGAUAUAAAAGAAUUCGAAAUGCAUAUAGCUGAUCUAAAUAAGUUAAAAAUAAUUAGAAGAAGUACUAGUCCACACAGAAGUGCAGCAUUCAUAGUUAAAAAACAUAGUGAAAUAGUUAGAGGAAAAAGCAGAAUGGCAAUAAAUUAUAAAAGAUUGAAUGACAAUACUAAAGAAGAUAGCUAUGAUAUACCAGAUAAAAAUGAGUUAAUAAAUAGAAUCCAAUAUAGAUAUAUUUUUAGUAAAUUUGAUUGUAAGUCAGGAUUUUGGCAGGUAAAAAUGCAUAAAGAAAGUGUAGAAUGGACAGCUUUUACAUGUCCUUUAGGACACUACGAGUGGUUAGUAAUGCCUUUUGGGUUAAAAAAUGCACCAGCCAUAUUUCAAAGAAAAAUGGAUAAUAUUUUUAAUAAAUAUAAAGAUUUUGUCAUAGUAUAUAUAGAUGAUAUAUUAGUAUUUUCAAAAAAUAAAGAAGAACAUGUAAGCCAUCUAAAAUUAGUUUUCUCCGAAUUUAUUAAACAUGGAAUAAUAAUCAGUAAUAAAAAAGCACAAUUUUUUAGAAAAAAUAUAGAGUUUUUAGGAACAGAAAUAGGACAAGGAAAAAUAAAAUUACAACCACAUAUUUGUAAAAAGGUUUUAGAAUUUCCAGAUAAGAUAGAAGAAACAAAGAAACUUCAACAAUUCUUAGGAUUAUUAAAUUAUGCAAGACCCUUUAUUAAAAAUUUAAAUAACCUAGUAGCACCAUUGUAUAAUAAAACCUCUUUAAAAGGACAAAAAUUCUUUAAUAAAGAAGACGUUAAACUAAUACAAGAAAUUAAACAAACAAUAGGCAAUUUACAUGAUCUAAAAUUACCAUUAGACACAGAUUAUUUAAUAAUAGAAUGUGAUGGCAGUAGUACCGGAUGGGGAGCAGUUCUUUUUGCAAAACCAAAUAAAUAUAGCGAUAAAAACAGUGAACAAAUCUGUAGAUACGCUAGUGGAAAAUAUAAAGAAAAAGGCAAUAGAAGCAGUAUAGAUAAUGAAUUAUUAGCAGUAAAGUAUAGUUUGGAUAAUUUUAGACUUUUUAUAAUCAACAAAUCUGAAAUAACUAUUAGAACAGACUGUGAAGCAAUAAAAAAAUUUUUUGAUAAACAUAAUGAAAAAAGGAGUUCUACUAGAAGAUGGUUAAAUUUUGUAGAUAGUAUUAUUGGUAAUGGAUAUAAAGUAGUUUUCGAACACAUUAAAGGUAAAGAUAAUAAUUUAGCAGAUUUUUUAUCACGACUUUUUAACAAUUCUCCUGAUCUCUUAGCAGAUGGCAUAUAACUUCCAGAAAGUCAAAAUUGGCCAGUGGGAACUUACAAAGUACCCUAAAGGUACAAGUCUACAUUUCCAUAGCCAAGAGGAAGGUAAUCUAGAAGACAUCCAGCAGGAUAUCUUAAAUAACCUCUGGAAUAGCAGAAAUAGCACUGAUAAAGUUAGAAAUCUUAAUAUCUUAGCAUUUUAUUUUAGUAAUCUUCCAAAACAAAGUUUUUCAUAUUAUGUAGUAAUUCAAGGAAAAACACCUGGAAUCUAUUCCAAAUGGGUUUCCGUUAUAGAACAAAUAAAUCAUUUCCAUAAUCCUUUAUGGAAAGCAUUUCAUAGCAUACAUGAAGCACUAUAAUUUGCUAGGCAAAAUAUAGGAACAACAUUUUAUGUAGAUCCUAAAGCUAGCAGGGAUAGCAUGAGGGUGCCAGUAUGUCAACAUACAGAUGCCCCUAGUAGCAGUAGAAAUUAUCAAUAUGCAUUAGAAAAAGAUAACACAAAUAGAAUAGAAUUUUGUAGACAUUGCAAAAGUAUGGAGCAAGCUAUUAGAAGUUUAAAUUUAAAGUGUAGAAAUUUUGAAGAAGAAGAUUUUUCUCAAAAAGAAAAAAUAAAGUCUUUAACUGAACAACUCAAAGAAAUGUAUAAGAUCUCAGGCUCACAAGGAGAUACUAUUCUCUCACAAAUUUCUGAGAUUGGGGAGCUUAAAGGAAGGCUGUCUCAUACAGCAUCUCAAAUGGCCAGUUCUUCAUCCGGCCCAAUAAAACAGCCAAUUUUUAUACAAGAAAAGCCCAUUUCAGAAAGACCAUUUGAAUUUCUUAAACCCAGAAUAUCCUUUAAACCAUAUCACCUACUUGGUUUCCUCCCUUUACAUAUCCAAGAAAUUAUUAGCCAAAAAGCCCAAGCCCAAUAUUAUUCAAAAUUAAUGGCAGUCCAACAAUACUUGUAUGAAAUAGCAAAAGACCCAAUUAGAAACACAGCAGCCAUUAGACUACAUCCAUCCUUCUUCAUCGACCCAGAAAAACAUUGCCCAAACAAUCCAGAAGCCUGUGACCACCAGAAAAUAAAUAGCCAUUGUAUACAUACACUCAGUAAUUUUUUCCUCAGAGCCACUAUUAUCUUAUCAAAAUAUUCAUCCCCAAAGAUACUAAGGGUAAAUGGGGAAAGAGUUAUUUUAACACCACAGUUUCUUUUGGAUGCCGGAUUCCUGGAAAAAAUUAUUGUUACAAAUCCAGAAGAUACUCAUUGUCUUGGAACUCAUCUCGGAUACUUCAUCAGAAAAAUGUUAGACUAUGGACAGUGGGCAACUGUACAUAUCAAAUCCGCGCCAGCAGAAUGGAUAGGACUUUUUGAUAUAGAACCAGCAAUACAUAGAAUGAUGAUUACAGUCAGCAAUAUACCACCAACAAGAAGAACGACAGAAAAACUAGAGAAAAUCAGCAGUAGUCUAGUGGAAUGUCCAUUAGAACUAAAAGAACAAUUGAUAAAUGCUAAAAUGAUCCAAUUAGCUUACAGACAUUUCAUAGAUCAAUGGGAAAAUGGAAUUAGAUUAGUAUAUGAAAAUAAAAUACAAAAGAUAUAUGUCCCAUACAGGUUUAAGUUAGAAAAAGAUUUCACUAUAAGUACCAAUUAUCCAGAAGUCUUUGAAAAAUAUUUGGAAGGAUAUUAUAUGAGCACAGGAGCAAGGCAUUUGGACAUCGAAACAGAUGAAGAAUACAAUGAUGAUCAUUAUUGGGAAACAAUGGGACCAGAAGAAAUGAGCAACAUCGAAAAUAUGAUGGAAGGACAAUUUUCCGGCCAUCUUGUCAAAAGCUAUAUUGUAUAGGUCGGUCAUAAAAUUAAUAAAGCUUUUAUUAGUUGUUGGCCACAUUGUAUAGUCUGGCCAAAUUGAUUUAAUGUUUGUAGAAUCUAUGAAUCUAUGUAUAGGUCGGUCAUAAAGCUUUUAUUAGUUGUCGGCCACAUUGUAUAGUUCGGCCAUAUUGAUUUGAUGUUUUUACGGAUUUCAGAAGGUCUUAAGUCCGUAAAAGUUAACAUGUCAUAUCCACGGACUUUGAGUCAAAAAAUUUUAAGUCCGCACAGUUUGCACAAGAAGUCUAUAAAGGCAUACGUCCCUAACCAAUGUUGGGUACGAUGCACCUUUAUCCUGUAAAUUAAAGCAUCCGAUAUAAAAUUCAAUUUCAUACGCAUAUCUUUCUUACAGUCUUUAAUUCUUUCAUAUUACUAGCAUAAGACGAAAGAGAAAUAAGAAAGUAGAGAUUUAGGCAGCCAACCCUAGAUUAGAUCCAAACAACCGGAAACUUUGAAAAAGAUACCUUGUUUUUAGGAUCCUAAAAGACCAAAAGACGGUGUAGUACCCAUUAAAGCCUUUCAAUUACAAAGCAGACGCCAGGGAAAGAUCCGGUGAGGCAAAACUCCUAAUCACAAGAUUCCUAUUUUCAUAGCAUCAGAAGGAAAAUUUGGAUUUAAAGCAAGGAAGGUAAAAUCUCAGUUAUCUUUCUUAAAGUAUCUAGUAGUCAUCUAUUUCUUAAAUUCCAGUUAAUCAUCCUGAUAUUUUAUAUGAAUUUUGAACCGCCUUUUCAAUUUACAUCCACUCCAGAAAACGCAUACAGAUUAGCAUUACAAACCCUCAGACAACCAGAUACCUAUUAUUAUUUUGACAAAACUUUAGAGGAAAUUGAAACAACAGACCAGUGUUUAGCACAUAUACAAAUAGAAGACGCUAGAUUAUCUAAAGUAGCACACCACCAUCCCGCAUCAUUUCUAAAAAAUAUAAGACAAGCAAAAAUAGAUUUACUUUGGCAUAAAUACUCUGAAUUAAAAUCAAUAGAAAGACAAAAAUUAGAAGAACAAGAAAAAUACAAAAAUAAAAAGAUCUUUUGUAACAAGAUCUGUGGUAUAUCGGACUAAGCAAGAUUGAGAGAAAGAAGCUCUGCUUCACUGCACACUCUCUCCUCUGCUCCACGUACCAAAGGUCCGCACUUGGGAAUCCGUUCCUAUAAUAAGUUGGAAUCAAUCAUUAUAAUACAUUUGUUUGGUUCAGUGCCAAGAAUGUAUAUCAUUACUAUAGUUGAUGUUUGGUUCGUUGGCUCUUUGUAAAUGGGAUAUAAGAAAUUUAGUAUAACUAAGUAAUAAUUUCUAUUAGUGAAAAUGUAUAAUUAAUAAUAUCAAUUAUAUUACAUAGAUUAAUAUAUAUUAUAUAAUACAUAUAACUAAUAAUAUUAUUAUUGUAAGUUUGUAACUAAUUAAAUUAAAUAUUAUAUAUAUAAUUAAAUAUAAAUAUACAAAUGUUAUAAUAUAAAUAUAUAAUUAUAAUUAUAUAAUAUAUACUAAUAUUAAUUAUACUAAUAUUUUAUAUAAUAUAAUAUAUAUUACAUAUUAAAUAUAGUUAUUAUUAUAUAUUAUUAUAUUUAAAAUAAUAAUAAUUAUUAUAAUUAUAUAAUUUAUUAAUAUUAUAUACAUGUAUAUAAUAUAAUUAUAUGCACAUAUAAUAUUCAUUUAUAAAUAUACAUAUAUAUCAUAAAUAUAUUAUUAUAUAAUAUUAAUAAGUUUAUAAAUAUAUUAUAUAAAUAUAAUUAUAUUUAACUAAAUAAUUAUAAUAUAUAAUAUAAUAAUAUCAUUAUUAUAAGUUUGUAACUAAUUAAAUUAAAUAUUAUAUGUAUAAUUAAUUAUAAUUAUACAAAAUUUAUAAUAUAAAUAUAUAAUUAUAAAUAUAUAAUAUAUAAAUAUUAAUUGUACUAAUAUUUUAUAUAAAUAUAAUGUAUAUUACAUAUUAAAUAUAGUUAUUAUUAUAUAUUAUUAUAUUUAAAAUAAUAAAUAUAAAUAUAAUUUAUUAAUUUAUUAAUAUUAUGUACAUGUAUAUAUUAUAAUUAUAUGCACAUAUAAUAUACAUUUAUAAAUAUACAUAUAUAUUAUAAAUAUAUUAUUAUAUAAUAUUAAUAAAUUUAUAAUAUAUAUUAUUUAAAUAUAAUUAUGUUUAACUAAAUAGUUAAAAUAUAUAUUUAUAUAAUAUACUAAUAUUAUAAUUAUAACAUAUUAUAUAUGUAUAUAUUAUAAUAUAAAUAUAAAUAUAAAUAUAAAUAUUAAUUAUACUGAAUAUUAUGUAAUUAUAAGAUUUGGGAAUCACACUUGGGUUUUGGACAAAACCCACCAACUUACUAAGGAAUGGUGGAAUGCUAAAUUUUCAGACAUCAUUCCAAAAUUUCAAUUCCGAUAGUAGUGAACCAAACAUAAUUCAUGGGGUUUAUUCCAAUUCCCCAUUCCGAAACCCUUUUACCAAACGCCACCUAAGUUUGCAUUCUACCAGAGUACCAAAACAAAAGAAAUGGGUUGAAAUCAGGAAACAGGAGGAUUCAUGGGUUGUAAUAAAGUGAACUUGUUGCAAAUGGAAGACAUGAUAAGAUAGAAAAGGUAAGAAAAGGUAGUUUAGAUGUUUAUUUGUGUCAUAUUGGAAAACUUUUUGUGAUUUGUUUUCUUUCUCCAAUUGUGUUUUUUCUCGGCUUAGCGAGGCAACAAAACAAAAUAAACCAAAUCCUCUAGCUAAUUUGGACAACUCUUCUAGUCUUCUGCCCUCAACAAGAAAAUACAGCUAAUUGACCAAACCAAAUCCAAACUCUACUGGGACUGAACGUCCAGCUUAAGAUGAUCUAAAAAUGCAAAAGAAAAGAUAUUAUUGCUAGCAAGUCUCCACUAACCAAACUCUUUGUUGGACUUUCUUGUGAAAAGAUACUAAUAGCAAGCUUGGACAAUUAGUUAGGUUGCGUUUGAUAAAAUUGAAGUCUGAAAUUUGAAAUCUGAAGUUUGAAUCUAUUAAAUUAUUAAAUAUUAAAUUUAAUAUAUUUGAGUGUAUAUCGCAAUCAGUGAAAAGUGAAUAACUUACCGCUUAUUUUUUGGAACAAGUUUUGUCUAGAAAAUUCAGUGCUACUUAAUUAAUUCAGAUGUUCAAUUUUUAACUAUCAAACGCAUCUAAAUAUGUUAAAAUUUGAAUCCAUUAAAUUUAAGUACUAAAUUAAAUUAUCGAACAGCUGGGCCUUAGUAUAUCAACGGAGAUUCAGGAGGCCCUAGGCCCCAAUUUAAGAGAGAUUUUUGAGAAGUGCCACCCAAAACAGCUAGUUAGUAGCUUAUUUGGACCUUUUAGGUUGUUGAGCCUUUUGUUUUAUUUAAGCUUUUUUGUGUUUUAGUAUUUGGUACUCUAAAACUUAUGAUUUUGUACUCUCUUCUUUAUAGUGAAUUUGUUGCUCUUUUACUUGUGACAUAGGUCAAUUGUCCAAACAACAUAAUUCUUGUCUGUUAUAUUUAUAUAUAUAUAUAUAUAUAUAUAUAUAUAUAUAUUUUGCUUUAUUAUUGUAUUUUGAAGUUGCCAAAAAUUUUUUCAUCAAUUUUCCGGAUGACAACUCAAGAUGGAGGCUAUUUUUAGUUCAUGCUGGAGUUAAUUUAGUGCUACAGGGAAUUGGAAAAAAGUCCAUUGAGGGUUUUGUGGAAAAGAUGAAACAAGAUUACUAUAUUCAUGAUUUCAACCUGUUGAGAUCUGCUGAGACUUUUGUGAUUUUGGCCGAUUGGAAAUUGUUGGGGCUUUUGUGGCUUUGACCCAUUAGAAUUCAUUGUGGCUUUUAUGAUCUUGAUCUAUUAGGAUCCAUUGAAACUUUCGUACAGAAGGUGAAGCAUGGUUGCUGCUUGUCGAUGUUGAAUAUAUAAGAUAGAGAUUUGUUGUCUUUGCCCUUGUAAAAUAUAUCAAAAUUUUUAAAAAGGCAUCUCUCCUUUAGUGGUUAUAAAUAUGAUGGGUGUAAAUACAUCAAAUCACCAGUGAAGGACCCUAAGCCCCAAUUCAAGAGAGAAGUACCUUUUAGGUUGUUGAGCCUUUUGUUAUAUUUAGAUUCUCGUGUUUUUAGAAUUUAGUGCUUUUAGACCUAGCAUUUCUUUUCUUGUACUCUCUUUUUUAUAGUGAAUUUGCUACUCUUUUGCCUGCGAAUGUAGGUUUGUUGGCUGAGCCACGUAAUUCUUAUGUCUCUCUUCUAUAUUUAUUUUUGCUUUAUUAUUGUCUUUCGGAAUUGUCAAAAAACCUUUUCAUCAAUUUCCUGGGACCAGGCCUUACAGAAACUAUUUUAGCUCUUGACUUUGUAAAUUGAAAUGGACAAUACAAUUCAGACACCAGAGGAAAAGAUGGUGAACUGAGAGAAAAUUGCGCAAGAAGAACUUGAGAAAUUGUAACAGCAAUUUAGACCCACUUCCUCACUCAGUAACCCCAGUAUUGAUGCAUCAUUUAUUCGUCCAACCCCCGUUUCAAACCAAUUGUAACUUACUACUCUACCUGGCUGCCGACAAUUAACAGUAACUAAUUGUAACUAAUUUACAGCAAAGUAGCUAACUUGUCUUGCGGAGUCAGCAUUCAAUUAACUCCAACUAAUUGCUAAGUAACUAAGUCUUUCUGACACAGUAACGAAGUUAGCAUGCUAAGAUCUUACAAAAUCUCAAUGAUUUUUUUUGAGAACUUUUUUAUUUUAGGAUGAAAAUAUAAUGUAUUUUAGGGUAUAUCUCACUCAAGUGUUAUUUCAAUAUAUAAACUAAAAUACCCUACUUUUGGUUUCGAAUUUUCUGUCUCCAAAUUAGUCUCUAUCCCUUCUUUAUACAACUGCCACAUGUCUCCAACUUUUUGAUAAUUCAAACUCAAAUAAACCAAUAAUAAUCGGUUGACAAGUUUACUCUAACCCCCAACUUGAAUGUCAGAUGAUUUAUUGAGUACAAGAUAUUAGAUGUCAAUCCCGUAGAAAAGAUUGUCAAUUACUGAUAGUUUUCGAACUCCUCCAUUGUUUAGAUGAUCACAAAUAAAGCACUUAAAUUUACUCUACUAACAUGUAAUAAAAGAAGUAAAAUAACAACAAAAAUGUGUCUAAAAUUAUGAAAUCCCUAACUACUCUUGCAAGUGAAAACAAAUCAUCUAUUAGUAUCCGUCUUCUUGACUUUCUUGAAAGAGGACAAUCUACAUCUAAUUACCUCAAGGAUCUCUUGUUGAAUAACUUUUGUAUCCCUACAUUCAUUCCUAAAUUGUGUUGCAUUCCUUUCUUUCCAAAUGCACUAAAUAGCAGCUGCCAACAAAAACUCUUCCUUGUUUUAGCAAGAGAUUUGCCUUUCAAAUUAAUUCCAAUCCAAUCAAUCAAAUUGCUCCUAUUGGUACCAUCAUACAGCACAUUUGGAUUCGAAAUAAAUCCAAAUACUAUUAGUAAUAGAGCAAUCAAAAAACAAAUGGCUAUGGUCUUCAAUGUCAGCUUUUUAUCUUCAAUAGUCUUUUCUUUUCGCUUCUCAAUUUUGCUGAACAUAUUAGCUCUUGCUUAUCUGGAGCCUGCAGCACAGGAUUUGGAUCAAUACUUAUGGUCUAAAUAUAUUCCAACAAGAUACUUACAUAGUCAAGCUCAAUUAUUUCUGUGUUUCAUUGUUUUCUUCCAGUGCCAACUUCCAAAUAGUUAGCUUACUAUAAAGAUAAAACUCAGGAAGGGCUCACAGACAUGCAGACUUGAAAGUAUUUAGUUAGAAUUUAAAGUUACACUAUUAAGACGUCAAAUAUAUCGUUUAAAGUUAUUGAACUCAGCAUAACAAAAUUAGUUUCUUGCAUUGAAUCAAUCUGAGUAAAGCGAAAAUUUCCAAGCUCAUCUAUUAGGGUGGACAAAAAAUUAGAAGGGAUUUGCAAUUUUCACCCUCGAAGUGUCAUCAAUUUUUGGUUUGCACCAUCCUAAACUAUUACUUGUAGCACUUAGCAGGGAAAAGAUAAGAUGAACAGCAAACAAAAAGUUUAGACAGUUUACAUUCAUUAGACUUGUGAAAACAUUGCUAAGUUGGACAAUGAAAAAGCUUGUUCCUGUGUAAAGAUGAAACGUUUAAAAAAAAUGAGAGAGAGAGAGAGAGAGAGAUUUGAUCAUCUUUUUGGUUUUUUUUUUUGGAUAGCAUAUUAAUCAAUUUAUUUAAGGUACACGAUAAACAAUUUAAUAUUUUCAUAUAGAAAUUAGGACAGAAAACCCCAAUCACUUAACGUAAACUAUAAGCAAUUUAACAAUUGUGUAAAAGAAUUUUCUGGAAUAACUUAGAUUACUCAUGUAAAAUUCACUUCACUUUGUGCUCCAUCUGGUUUCGUGGUUAGCGUGCUCAGAGUGGGUUGAGGCGCCCUUUCCCAGGCUGCAGGGGCAUUAAUCAGGCCAGAGGUCCGGAUACCCGAUGUGUCAUCAAAAAAAAAAAAAAGAAGCCGAGAAAGUGGCAACAAAUGUAGUAAACCUACAAAAACAACUUAAGCUCGUUAGCCAAAUCAUCAAAGUAAAUAUUACCGCUUGUAAACAAUUGUUAAUUGAUUUUCUGGUCAAUUUUAGGACAAAUACUUUUAUCUGUUCCUUUAAAACCUUGGUGUAAAACUACAUUGAAAACAUCUUUUCCUUCUAGAAUCUUUCUUUAUAUAUUAGUCGACUUAUUUAGCUAUGAUCCCCCGAAUCCUCCUUCCAAAGCUUGUCCAAUACGAAGACUACUUUUCUGACUCUCAUCUAAUCUUUCUUUAUUUUCUUGCUUCUAAAAAUUCUUUCUUUAUUUCAAAAUUACAUUUUAUUCAAUGUUCAGUUAUAAAAACUUAGGCUUGUAUUACACAACAUACUCUCUUUUUUUUUUCCGCAACGAUAACAUUUGUAUAUCCUAACCCAUUGUGUAAGGAACUAGCAGAUAUACAAACCUAACUAAACCAAAGUGGUGCUCUAACACUUCCUUUAAAUUUUUUUCACUGCAAAUAAGGUUAAAACGUCUGAAGGCUAAAGAGGGACUUGGUCCCUUUUGGUGUAUUAUUAAACAUACUCGUUUAACUUUUCAUUCUCAGUUCAAUGAAUGGGGCAUCAAACUACUACAAAAAACAUUUCACCUAUCAUUUUCUAGAAAAUAAUAGUGAAAAGAUUUUCAGCAUUAAAGAGCAUCUACAAAACGGUUAAUAAUUGACUUACCAUGACAGCACAAAAAGCAUCUAAGUGGUUCCUUGUCUUCAUGUAAAUAUAUAUAUGUAUAUAUAUAUAUAUAUAUAUGCUAACCUCUAUUAUUGAUCAUCCCAAAAAAGUUCUCAAUGACUACUUUAAUUUCUUCAUCAAAAAACGUUUAUCAUUUAUGGCGCAUACUAUUGCUCUCUUUUUUAAUUUUUACCCACUUCAACUCCAUGGUGCAAGCAGACAAGUUGAGUUUUCAGCAAUAUGUUUCACUUCAGAAAAAGGUGUUCCCCACAAUGUUUUGAAACUUGGACCGUUAAUUAAACUGGUCAAGUGAUUGCGUCAAGAUUCAAUUGGUCAAACCGAUUUAACCCCGAUUCGAUGAUAUUUUAUAUAUACACACACAUACAUAUAUAUAUAUAUAUACACACACUUGCGCAUAGAAUAAUUGUUUCAAUUGUUCUAGAUUAUUAUCCCAUAGACUAAUUUAAGACAUCACUUAAUAAAAAAUUAAGUAUUUUUAAACACAAAUAAAGUUUUUAAAUUGUAAAUUCAAACAAAUAAAUUUAUCUCAAUUGUACCUACUUGGUAAAAAUCUUAAAUCCCACACAAACCACAACCAUAUUUUAAAAUUAAACAAAAUGCAUUGAGAUUUUUGAAAUUAAACAAAAUCUAAUAGAAUUACAAAAGAAAUCGAUAAUCUUUGAGUUUGAGGCUGAGAAAUAUAGAGAGUUUGAUUACUUUUUUAGAAAUUAGGGUUGGGAACAAAAGAUUCUACGAAUAAGUUUUAUUAUGUUAAAACAUUAGGUUCAAUUUUAAAAAAAAGAUGGAAAAAAUAAAAAUAAUCAUGGUUCACAGUUCAAUUCGAGUUGAACGAUAUGAUUGAUUUUUUGCGAUUUUGAUCAAUUUUUACAAAAAGUCAAUACUAGUAAUGAAAUGGACCGAAGACUUGACCGAUUUGCGGUCUGAUCAGUCGAAUUGACCGAUCCAAUCCGAUUUUCAAAACAUUGGUUCCCCAAGCUUUUAAAAGGGAGCUGAUCCCUCCAUCAGGUUCUACAAAGGAUCCUCCACCACCUCCACUGAUAAAGCCACAUGGGCCACAUGCUUUACCCCAGGGUAGCUUUCAAGAGGUGUGCUGUCCCUCCAUCAGGUCAGCCAAAGAAUCCACCGCCGCCACCACCACCAUUAGGGCCACUUGUGGAUCAAAAAUCCUAAAUAAUCGGUAUUCCGGUCCAUGAAACAUAAUUGAGUUCAUAUAAUAAUAGUAACGAGUUGCUAUCAAUGCCUAGAUUGCAUAACUAGGCGCUUGUUCAAUGUGACUAUCCAAAUAAAGUUUUUUGCUUAUCUAUUGUCGUUAGCAUUUUUAUUUGCUAGUCAAUAAAACUAUGUGAUUUUUGUUGCUGAUGGUUGUGAACUUUUGCUUCUAAUCAUAUACUAUCUCAAAUUAGUUUCUUUUUAUAUAAAGUUCGUGUAAUCCAUUAGCGUGGGGUCAAUCAAAGCCUCAUCAACUCUCAUUUAGUGACAAUGUAUUUGGCAUAAAUGUUGGUUGUGCAUGUAAAUUUUUGGGAAAUCGUUUAAAAUGUUCCUCACAUUUUACAAGAUGACUUUUUUCAUCCCUCACUUUUAAAAGUGUAAUUUUACAUCCCUUACAAAUUCAAAUUGAUAAAAGAAAAAUUUGCCAAAUUGGUCCCUAACAUUUACCAAAAACACUUUUUUAGUCCCUAACAUAUAAAAUCAGCCAAAAUUAUCCCUCACAUUUAAAUUGUGAUCCAAUUUGGUCAUAAUGCUCAUUUUUGCUCAUUUUUCCUGCUAAAAAUAGCAUGCCUCUCUCACGUGAUCAUAUUUUUAGGGACAAAACCGGAAAACACAUUUCAUUACCGGUUGAAUAACACUAAAAUUUUUUACCUACUUUUUUUCUAAUAUUUCAAGAAAAAAAAUAUUCACCACUAAGUUGAGGUGAAAAGGCUUUUUCUAGUUUACUUCAAAUGAAACUUUAUGCUCCACAUAUCCUUUCAGAAUUUUAGUUCAUGAACUAAUUUAAAGAACCACGUAAUUCUUUCACAUCCUUCAUAAGAAAACUUCAUGGACACACUUGAAAUUAUAUCAAAAUUUUAUGGGUACUAUAGGAAUUUAAGGAUCCCGAAUGCCCUUUCCUUAAAUCCGCCACCAAGUCAAAUAGAGCAUUGUAAUGACACUUUUUAUCUCCUCGUCUGUCGCUUAAUGAAGUAAAGAAGGUGUUUCAAAAAUGAAAUCUUCCAAUCAAUUUCAAAUUGCAUGUUGAUUUCUUUCUUGCUGCGAUUUUUGCAUUUUGAAACAAAAAGAUAUGCCCAUUAUCUGGGAUAGCGCCAGAUGGAUGUAAAAUCCUCAGUAUACACAGCAGUGCUUUGUCUGUUACCCCUCACAUUACAAGCCAUGAUGCUAUCCUCAAAAUAGAACGUCAUAGCAACAGGGCAGGAUCAUCUUACACAAAGAGAACUAAGUAAAAUUAAACCAGACUAUCUUAUUCUAAGCUUUUAAGGAGCCUAAACAACGUAGCUGCUUCUCUCAUCCUUGAAAACUCUAUACAAAAGGCUUGGACUUCAAUAAAUAGAUCCUGGACUGCAUUCCAAAUGGGUUCGACAGCAUUUAGUAAAAUUAGAUCAAUGAGAAUAAAUCAAGGUUUGAAGGAUGAAAGCUGCCAUAUGCACCAGGUAGUUAACACUUUAUAUUUAAAACAGAUCUGUUUGGGUGCAUAAAAUUUGAAUUGAACUUUCAUAUUAAUCGAGUCUUAAACUGAAAAUGGAAAAGGAAACUUUGUGUGCCUUUGAAAAUAUUCGAAUCACAACAACCUGUUACGGUCCAGAGUCACCUGGAAUACUAAUUCCAAGUCUAAUGUUAUUUCAGGUGACUGAAAAUUUAGCUUGCAGGAUCACUGCAUACCUGGUAUUCUAACACCAAUGAAAUUUUUGCCUUUAAAUCACCUUAUACAUUUGUUGACUAGCACGGAAAAUAAUCUAAUAAGAUAUCUAAUGUAAAUUUUGCAUGUGCAAGGAAGUGUAAGUUACUCAAGCGAGGAAAUGUUCAGAAAGGAAAGAAUUUUGACGUAUAACAAAACCCCCUAUAAAUCAAAAUCAACAGAUGAAAUAAAUUAUCUUCCGUAGAGUUAAGUUUUAUUCAAAAACUUUUUGACUCAGCAAUGGUGUCAUUAAAAUUUUUAACUGAAGGUGAAUCUAUGUUCUGUAAUCUGCCUCUUAAUUUGGCAGAUAAUUUCAUCGAUUCUCCUAAACAGCUUGUGCGAACCAACCAUUCAUGAUUUUCAUUAGCAUUCGUGAAUCAACUUGUACAUGAACCAUCCAUGACAUGCACAGCUUAGUCCCCUCUUUCUUUGAGUGUUCAUUAUUGCGGUUUACUGAAAAUGCUUAUAUGCCUGCGACUUUCCUCACAUAAACAAAAUAUACGCUGAACUUUCAUUCUGCACAACAGAUUGAUGACUGAACAUCCUAGGUCUCGAAUUGUCCACAAUUGCAGGUAUUGCAGAUGAGGCUUUACUGAAAAUCUAUUUUGGACCAUCAUAGUACCUACCAAGAUGCUUUAAUUUUCAUGCAAAAAGAGCACUCCAUCUGAUAGCUAUUUCUUUGCACCUACUUGCUUAUUUUCUAUGAAUCAACAUUAAACCAGGCAACUGGCAACACCUAUGAAUACCAAGCCAGAAUCAUGAUGAAUAGGUCAAAAUUUACGGGUUUCAAAACGGGGUUGAAAAAAUGGGGAAGUACAUCAAAGAGUAGAGAGGACUAAGAACCUUGGUGUUCUCACACGAAGAUAUGCAGUUCGUUAUAUACAAGUGAAUAAAUUCAGUUGGUAGUUCGACAGCUGUAGUAAGCCUGUUAACCACUUCCAUUGAAUGAAGGCUCAUAUCCAUACUGACAAUAACAGUAAAAUAUCUGCAUUUCAUAAAAAAAAUUUGUUGUCGGAACACUAAUAAGAUUAAGUUUCUUAUACUGUAACGUAAAAAGAUGAACAUACUCUUCAAUUUCAGGUGAAUUUGCAGGCUUAAUGAGAACUUCAACUGCUAUGACAGGAUUAUUCUCCACAAUUUCCUGAUAACCAAACAAAAGAACACUCACAUUCAGGAAAUUAACACAUAGAACACAUCGAUAUGCCUAUAAAAUAACAUACUGGCAGCUUUCCUGGUGUCAGCCCACAGUGAUAUACGUUAUAGUAUAAGAAAGGAUUUGUUACUAUUAAUUUGUCAACGAUUUCUUAUUCUAGAAGCAAAAAUAGGCUCUGAAAAGAAGUCUUUCCCACAGUAAUGAAUAGGCCUCCACAUCAGGUUCAUGUGGUUAUCUAAAUUCACUGGACUCAGUAUUUCAUACAGCAGACAGUCCAAUAAUUCUUAGCACUCCGUAUAAAAGUUAACUGAAAAUACUCUCAGCUUUCCACUGUCACUCAAUAAACAAGUCAAAAAUGCACUUGAUGUGCAUACUGCAUAGCUGAACAAUCUUAGCAUAUAGCGCUAACUGUAAAUAUCCUCUGGCAAAUAUGGAAGACGAGGAACAGGAAAGCUUUUGAUGAAAAAGAUGCAGAUCCAAGAAAGUCAGUACAAAAAGCUAUGGUAGAAUGGAAUGAGUACAUAGAAGCCCAAAAAAGUUUAGAUGGAAAGUUCAUUCAACAAACAACAAGCUCAAAUAGAAGCGAGGAAUGGAAGCCACCCUCAAGAGGACAGAUAAAGAUAAAUUCUGAUGCUGCAUUUUCACAAAACAUGAAGAGAACAGGCAUAAGUGCUGUGGCUAGGAAUGCAGAAGGAAAAAUGAUGAAAGCAUGGGCAAGAGCUGAACUAAAAGUUAGCGAGCCACAAGUGGAGGAAGCAGCAGCAAUUCGGAUGGGAAUGCAAAUGGCUUGCGAUGCAAACUGGAAGGAAGUAGAAUUCCAGUCUGACUGCAAGGAGGUAGUGGACAUGAUCAACAAGGAAAAGGACCAUCAUACCAGGAUAGCUACUGUCCUUGAAGACAUUGCAAAUAUGAGAUGUUUGUUUGAACAAUGUACUUUUUCUUUUGUUCAUAGAGCUGGAAACAGCUGUGCACAUAGCUUAGCAAAAUUUGCGGUAAAGCUAACUAAAAAUGUUGAAUGGGAAGAGUGUUUUCCCAUGUGGAUCCAUGAGAGUGCACAAAAGGAUUACAAAGGGAGAAAUUCUGAUGUAUCCAAUCUUGUAAUAUCAAGUUCAUGAAAUGAAGUGAAUUUAUGAUGUUUGACCCAAAAAAAAAAAAAGAACAAUCUUACACAGUGCAUGAUUAUUUAAAAUUGACCAUUAAUAGAGCACAAACAAAAUCCUGAGAACAACAAAUACAAUGAGGAGAAGACAUAUGCAUACUUACAGUCACAAGCACAAAACUGAACGGGUUAGAACUAGGCUGCUGGGAAGAAUAUGCCUGGUGGAGAAUUGCAAAUCCAACUAGACGCUGUGUUGGUCUUAACACUUUACUCUGCAAUAACAGACCAUACAACCAUUGAUGAUUGGAACUCCCCAUAUUAGGAGAUUAAAAAUGGCAAGAAAAAAAUUUAACCUUCUUAUUUUCGUUUUUAUCCACAAGCAAAAGAGAAGAAAAAUAGAGCCAAAUAUCAUUCUUCUAUCUUUGUUAACAAUCCCUGACACCCAUGUACUAACAGAUAUCUUUUAUGGAGAAUAAGUAUAUUGUUGAAUUUUAAAACCAUAUUUGAAUUAUCUAUCCGACUGAAUAAGUCAACUUCCUUUCUCCCAAACUUUGAACUACUUAUCCAUUCACCAAUUACUUGAUUUCCUUCAUAGCUGCAACAACAUCCACUAAACAGAUCAUUUCGGCGCAAAUUUUCAUCCUGUAAUUAAGGUUUCAAGGAUUCCAGCUAGCUUCCCUCAAAACAUUACCUCCGAUACAGCCAGAUCCUCAAUGAAAUCCUAGGUACGAGAAUAGGAAAUUAACAUCUUAUUUUAUUAUUAAUGCAGAAAGCGCAAACUCCAUGUUCUCUGAAGACGCCGCUCGCCAAAACAAGUAGGGAAUGGAAAUAAACAUAAUGGUAGCUCCUCCAUUUUCCUUUUCAUAGUGUACUAAUCGCUGCCUGACAGUCUUGGUGAUAACCGCCCCCGAAAACAAAAGGAUUUAAUACUGAUAAUUUCAACAAGAAAUCAACAGGUAGCCCCAUCAUCUGAUUGCUGAAAAGGUAUUGACCAAAUAGAAUCAACAGAGUUCAGACACAGAUGCAUUAAUGCAGAACAUAAAAGGGCGAAAAAAAUCUAGUACAUAUCCUAAAUGAAACAAGAAUCUCAGCUGACGUCUCAAAUUGGCCAAGAAUAAUCUCUUACAUAGUUCUACUGCACCGUAGCAAUCACUUUUGAGGAAGAAGAACAGCAUUGUGUAGGGAAAACAGAACAACAAUCAAAUUGCAAAAUCAGCUUGGCAGAGAUCUAUUCAUCCAACCCAUUCGAAUAAGUACCACCAAAGAGCUUGGAGGCUCGUAUAUACACGCUUAUGAGAACAAAAAAAGGGCCACUACAGCUCCUUAAAUGAAAUCCCUAAACCAUUUCUUCUACAUGUACAAACAAAGUAUAAACAAGCCAAUCCUAUCUUCAAUGAAAGAAUUGACGAAAAUGGGCCUGCAUGGAUUUGUUUUGUCAUGUACAAACUAUCAAAAAAAAUGAUACGCACGUCAGAUUUUCUUUCUGUCUUCCAUCUAUUUCGCUUAACCAAGAAGUUACCAAAUUGUACAACAAGAAGAAGACCGUUCUGGAUCUUCAUAAAUCAUUCAACUCAUAUUUCUGCAUCCAUUGCCACAAAUAGCUCUCUUCGCAGCCAAUUCUCUUCGCCAGCAGAAGUAUAUAAGGUCACGGAAAUGUCAGCCAACUUCUUGCUGCUCAAUCGAGCCCUCGGAAUUCUCACUUGCCUUGGAGCUUGUUCAAUCUCAUUCAACUCAUCCAGAUUUUCAAAAUCAAUAGCAUUUGGAAAUCCGAGUGUCUUCUUGGGGGUGCUAUCUGCAAAAUGCCAUCGCUUUGCAAUCAAAGUCUGCAUUUUUGUUUAAGAAAUCCAAAUCCAAAUCAACCAAUGCUCAAGACAUGUUGAAGAAAGCACUCAAAUUUUAAAUUAAUUUAAUCCAUAGAGAUGUAUAAAAGCUUACCGCUUCUCUUAUCGAUUUUGACACAAAAAACAGCCUCUUCAAAUCAUCAUGUUCAACACCACACAAUGUCCUAAUCUGUAGGACAAAAAUAAAUCCCAAUCUUGAGUAAUAACAUUCAGCCCAAAAGGUAACCUUAAGAUUAAUUUCCUGAUGUGACCAUCCAAAAAAGCCCUCAUCUUUCACCAGUAAAGCAAAACGUAAUUAGUGACCGUAAAUGCAAAUGCCCCUAAGAAAGCGGCAUAACAUUCACUUCAACUCUUAAACAAUUAAAAAAGGGUUAUUAUCACUUUACCCCCUUAACGUUCGGUGCCACUAUCAAUUUCCUCCUUAACGUUAUCUUUUAGAACUAUAGCCUCAUUAUUAAUUUAUCCCAUAUAGUUAUUUUUUAUACAAUUUAUCCCACCAUUAAACCAACUUAGUAAGUUAAAAAAUUUUAAAAGAAAGUACCCUCCUCUUUGUAUAAUAAAAAUAAUAAAAAAUUUAGAAUGACUCUUUUCCUCUUUAGUAUAAAAAAAAGGUCAAUGUAUUAAUCUCUUUUUUCUUGGCAAUCUUAUUAAUAUUAAAAAAAAUAGAAAGAUCGUAAGAGGGAGGGAGAGGGGGGAGAGAGAUAGAUAGAGAGAGAGAGAGAGAGAGCUCAAUUCUUUUUUUUUUUUUAAAUACAAAUAUGAAAGAAUUAAAUACUUUUAUUAUUUUAAAAUUAUUUUAUUUUACUAUUUACCACCAAAUUUCAAUUCUAAUUCCAACAACCUUAAAUUAAUACGAUAACAUUAGACUUUUCUUUAUUUUUUCUUUGCAAAAUCUAAUUUUAUGUUUCCUUCUUUCCUAUCUCUUUUUUUCCUAGUAUUAAUAAGUAUGAAAAAAGAAAUUUGAAAAAAUCCUUUUAUUUUUAUAUUUUUGGAUCUCUUAAAGUGAAAAAAAAGAAGAAUAAUCAUUCCAACUUUUUUAUUUUUAAUUGUAUAUAUAAAGGUAAAUAUAUUUUUAAAAAAUUUUACCACACUAGUUAGAUUAACGAUGAAAUAAAUUUCUUAGAAAAUAAUGUUAGGAAUUAAACUGAUUAUAUCACUAUAAUUUAAAGGAAUAAAGUAACAAUAAAAACGUAGUAAUACUAUAGAAUAAAAGGAUAUUUUUGUCCAAAUUUUCUCAACAUGUUGAGUUGAAUUACUUAUGGAAGUGAAAUGACUAAAAGAUAACGUUAAUGGGUAAACUGAUAGUAGUGAUAUAGUUGAAUGGGGUAAAGUGAUAAUAACCCAUUAAAAAAAUUACUCCAUAAAACCAAGCUAAUGACAACCUUUCAGCAUAAUUAAAGUACAAACCGCAUAUCCAAAUAUGAUUUAACACAGAAAGCUUAAGAACAACGCUCAGUUAAAAUCGAAUCACACGUGAGAGGGACAGGAGUAGAGAUGUUUUGGUCGGAUUAUCAUUAUACCAUAUCCAGGGCCUCUAAGCAUAUGACGGAAUAGUAGUUCAAGUAAUACUUCCUCAUACUUCGUGCGCAACUAAUAUACUUAGAACAUUUUUCGCACUUAAAAGCUUAAAAAUAUGAUAGGUUAGGACAUUUGCCAAGGAGAUCUGUCUUUACAUGUAGACUAGUGCAGAAAAGAAAAAUUACUUCAAAGGAGCCUUCUAAGCUUUUUGGUCGGAUCAAGUUUUGGUAAAGAAGUAAGUCAAAACAACUAAAGAGAUUGACUUGGUCUCCGGUCGGGUUUGAAAGCAGCCACUAUUUCAAACACUUAAAAAUAAGCACUUAAAGUUUUCCUUUAAUAAUUUUGACUAUCCUUAUUUGGUUGGCAGAUUAGUCCCCGAAGAUGAUGUAUAAAAUAUGGAUUAGGGGAUACUUUGAAUCACUUCAACUUACUACCAAUUUGCACUAUGGUAUACUAUUUUUUCCUUUUUUGAUACUUUGCACGCUAAUUUUUGUGUCACGACUUAGUCGCUGAAUUUCGAAAUUUUCAAUCUUUAAAUUAGUAGUUGUCCUCUGGUUUUUUACUUAUUCAUCAAUAUUUUGAAGUUAGACACUUGAGAUUAAUUAUUGAGCAUUAGUGAUGGUUGUCUAAAUAUCACAUGUUCAGUCGUAAAUCAAAAUAUGAUCCAGGGAUACGCAAAGCCAAUUGCAUGGUCAUGUAAUGUAUACUCGUACGCAUAAAAUAGAUAAAUAAUUAAAUAAAAUGUUUGCACAUAUAAAUAGCAUCUUUUUUUUUUUGGUUCAAAUAAAUCGAGCAAAUUCGGAAGUUGCAGUCUGUACACCCUAUAAGCUUAAAUUUUAUUUUUUUUUUCUAAAUUUCCGUAUAAGCUUAUGUCAAUGCAUAUAUAGUCUGUGGUUUUUACUUUUUUUUUUAAAAAAAAAACAUUUGUGGGCUUUUGAGAAAAUUAACAGGUGACUUGUCUUAAAAGCCAAGGUAUAAAUUUAUUCAUAGUUUUUUUAUUGAAUGAGGGAAAAGGCAAAUAAAGCGAUCACAUAGUGUACUCAUAUUUUUUUUUUAAUUGGGAAUUUUCUCACAUCAUCACAUAUAGCUUCUUCCAUCAUUCAAUGAUGGGAAAAACGGAUAAAAUGUCUUUUUACCGAAAUUAAAACCAAAGAAUUACCCAUUUGCACAUAUCCAUUUUAUAGCUCGUGCGCUUGACGUGGCAUUAGUAAAAAAGAAAAGGUACUAGUACAAAAAGAGUAGGAUUAAUUUGUGACCAAGAAAAUAUGUCCCGAUGGUUAAAAGUAGUAGAUUGACAGUGGAACGAGAUGAAUUCUACGCACGUACGCACUUCCAAAGACAGCUGAAUUUUAUCGGUGUAUUAAAUAUCAGAAAAAGGAGAGAUUGCCCUGAAUAAAAAGAAGUAUAAACAAGAACGUUUUUUUAAUCAAAUAUCAACAAUAAUGUUAAAAUCAAGGGAUAAUUUCACUAACCUCCCUUGUAAUGGUAAUGAUAGGGCAAAACCCACCGUGUUAGACUUAGUAGCAAUUUUUUAAAUGUUUUAUAGCCAUUUGACUUUAUUGUUACCUUUUUUUUUUCCUUUUAAAUAACGGCAAUAAUAACUUUGGCUUCAAAUUUUGCUUAGGAUGAGUGUCAUUCUUUUAAGAAAGUUAUUAUAGCUUUUUUUUUGUCCUUGAGAAUGGAGGUAAAUGUAACUUUUCAAAUGAAAGGGAAAUUAGGUGAAAUUGUCAGAAAUUUCUAGAGAGGUUUCUGAAAUUAUCCCUUAUUAAAUCAAGAAAGAAACUGGAAUAAUUGCGACAGAUGUUGCAGUGCAAAUUGUGAGCUCAUCGGAAAGGUUAAAACCUUGGUGAAAUAAUCAAGCCCAUGCGGUUGAAGGUACAUAUAUUUCUAUUAUAUGCAAUGACUCAAAAAUUGGAGCAUCCAAAAGCUACUAGAGAUAAAAUGUUCAAAACUUUUUCCACUUUUAUGGCCUUUUUUUUAAAUUUUUACUUAACAUAUGAAAAUUUGAUUACAAAUAGCAAAGUUUAAAUUCUCAAGUGACAAGCUAUUGUAAAUUCUCAAGGACUUAAGAGUUAAAUUUUACUUAGGCUUGAGAUUAUGCUGUCCAACAUUUAAAUAAUUUAAUUGCUACAAAUAUGAUCAAUUGCGGGAACAUAUUCAGACCAAAGUAUGUAAAAUGAACACCAAUACGAGGCAUAACAUAUCUUGGAAAAAGUCAACAAGAAAUAAGGUCUACAUUGAAUAAAACCAAUAUGAUAUUGCUAGACUCGAAUCCUAUAAACGGGAGGAGCAAAAACAGGUUCUUUUUUGAUAGAAGAUGGUUGAAAAAAAAGGGACUGGAACAAGUAGUUUAGCGGGCAUGGGAGGAGGAACAAACAGGCUCUAAUAUGUAUAAAGUGCAUAGGAAGAUAGCAAACUGUAGGAUAGCUAUUCUGAAGUGGAGAAACAACUUCCAAGGCAAUGCUAGAAAGAAAAUUGAAAGCCUUAAAAAACUUUUGGGCGAACUCCAAAACAUUGAGUGUGAGGACAAACAGGAAAGAAAAAGGCUCUCAAAUUGCAACUCAAGGAAGCUUAUGAUGGAGAGGAGCUCUUCUGGAGCCAAAAAUCUAGAGUUCAAUGGCUAAAGGAGGGGGAUAGGAACACUCACUUCUUCCACUCGAGUGUUAAGGGUCGAAGGAAGAGGAACAGGAUGCAAAAGAUACAAAGGGAGGACAACUCUUGGACUACUUCAGAUGAGGAAAUUGGAGAAGAAGUUGUGAAGCAAUUUAAAGACCUUUUCAGUAGUAAGGGAGUGAAUCACUCGGAUAUGGUUCUAGAGGCAAUAUCACAGACACAUCACAGACCACAUGAACACAAAACUCACCCAGCCUGUUAGGGAGAAAGAAAUCACAGAAGCACUCUUUUCCAUGAACUCAACCAAAGCCCCUGGACCAGAUGGAAUGACAACAAUUUUCUUUCACAAAUUUUGGCACAUCCUCAAAUCAGAUGUCAUCCAAGCCAUUAAUAGUUUCUUCCAUUCUGGUCACAUGUUGAAGGCAAUGAACCACACCAUUGUAUCCCGGCCUCAUCCCCAACGUAGAUAACCCCACUGAGGUUAAACAAUUUAGGCCUAUAAGCCUUUGCAAUGUGCUUUACAAAAUCAUUUCCAAAAUUUUAUCAAACAGGCUGAAAAAAGUUUUGGAAAAAUGCAUAAGUAAAAACCAAGCAGCUUUUGUUCCUGGAAGACAAAUUUUGAAUAACGUAAUUAUCUCUCAUGAGUACUUACAUUUCCUCAAAAAUAAAAGGCAGAGUGCAGUGGUUUUAAAGUUAGAUAUGUCGAAAGCUUAUGACAGAGUGGAGUGGGGAUAUCUGGAAGCAAUCAUGACAAAAAUGGGAUUUUGUGAUACAUGGAUCAACUGGAUAAUGGAGUGCAUUACGACAGCUUCUUUUUCUUUUAACAUAAAUGGGAAACCUAAAGGUUAUGUGAUACCCUCAAGAGGAAUUAGACAAGGUGAUCCAUUAUCACCUUAUCUAUUCCUACUCAUUUCAGAAGGCUUUUCAAAUUUGCUGGCUCAAGCAGAGAGGAACCAAAGACUGACAGGGAUGAAGAUCAACAGACAUGGACCAUCAAUAACUCACCUCUUCUUUGUAGACGACUCUUUGAUUUUUUACAAAGUGGACAAACCCAAGCUGAAGAAGUGUAAAACCCACGAUUUUUGGCACCGGUUUUAUUAUUUUAUUUUCCCAAUUAAUUAAAAAGAUAAAAUUUGCUAGGUAAAAGAAAGAAAUGAAAUAAUGUGACGCCCCCCACUUCUCCCAAGGGCGAACCCAAGGGUAUCCGUGGGACGCUUGCCCAGCUCUCGCCAGGACUCAAGACAAUUCAAAUCGAACUUAACGAUACAUACCAAAUACUACGAGUCAAAAUAAAGAAAAGUCGCUUCCUUAACUAAAUAUUUAAAUCUUACAUCAUGUUCACAAAAGAUAUAUCAAGUUCCAAAAUGCAACCAUUAAAAGUCGACUACACAUUUACAGCCCCGAUUCUAAUCAAAAGUAUAAUCUAGUCGGCUUUACCAAAAUCUUCCAAUCCAACCUGUUAAGGAAAACAAACUAAUAGGAUGAGCCAAUACUCAGUGAGGCCAAGAAAACACACAUGCAAACACAUAAUCCAAGUAGCAACAACAAUUACAUUGUAGGUAAGGCUAUCAAAUUCGAAUAAUUCACAUUUCGAAUAGGAAAAAUAAACAAAAACAAUUCAAGGAUACUGUAGCUCUCAGGAGCUAAAUUCCACGCAGUUGAGUCGAAAUCUUAAUCACAUCUCACGUUGACACUCCGUCAACCACAUAAGUAUCAAAUCCGUAGAUACACCACUUUUCUUCGAAUCCCGUCACCGUUACACCCCCUUAUCGGGCCCGCUCAUCAAAGUUUUUGAUAAUACUCGAGUAUAUCAUGGCAAUACUGCACGAGUAAUGCCGAGCAAGAUCUCUCCAAUAGAUCAUGUUCUACGAAUAUCUCAUGGUUUGCUAAGCUUAUCGACCAAGCCCAUGCUGGCUCGAUUCGCAAAGUUAGCCAACGAGUUUUGGGCGUCCCCCGAAUAUGAAUACGAAUACGAAUAUAAGUCGAUGAGCAACGCUCAAAUCGACGAUUCCAAAUAGGAAUCACAAAUACGGAUCACAUAUACGAAUCACAAGUACAAAUCACAUCCACAUUACCAUGUACAAGUUGGAUACGAAUUCACAUAGCAAAAUUCGAAUAUAAUUUCAUUUGAAAGAGAACGAGUGCGAUAAAGUACACCCUCGUCUCAAAAUUUCAAAUUUACAUAACGGAUAAGAAACAGAUAACCACUUAACAACAAAUUCAUGCACUUGACACUCACAGUGAUUCAAGUAGCGAGUUCAAAUGAUGGUUUAGGCGUCUCCCGUGAGAUCCUCUGGAAGGUCCUCUUGAGCGCCUGAGCAUUUAAUAGUGAAUUAUCAUUCACACAUCCCAAUUAUCAAGGAAGAUUGUGCACUAGUACAAUCUGGGGAAAUUUCAUGAAAAUGAACCUCAAUUACUAGUAAAUCGAGGUUCAAGUGGAGUUUCUUAAUGUACAAGAGUAAUCGAGUUUUGUUAUCUUGGAAAUCAAGCAUAAACGUUCAAGUAUUAUCGAAGGAAUAAGGAAUACUUGAAAAACUCAUUUCCUUGAAAUUCAGAAAAUUUCAGUUUUGAUACGAUAUUUUGAAAAAAAUCGUAUCUCAGAUUUCACAUGUCGAAAAUUGGAAAACUUGGUACCGUUGGAAACCUAUUCCAAAGUACUAAAAGUUCUUAGAAGACACUUUUCCAUGAAUCUAAGUGGAAGGUGUUCAAAAAUGAGCUUAAAGUUGCUGUUCCAAAUCACCCAGGAUUGAGCCGGGGUUGGUUUUUCGCUAACUUUAAAAAUUCAGCAGAAUUCACUCGUUACAAACCAGCCCUUGAAAUUUGUAGCUCAAUUAGAGGUGCAAGUAAGGUUUAGGGUAGAACAAGCGGAUCGAGAAUCGGAGUUUCGAGCACCAAGAUAUGGUAGUUCAAAGUUGGGUAAAUUUCAAGACUGUUAACAAAUUUCCAGAUUUGGUUCCGACUUUGGACCUUUAGUUAAGUGUCGAAACGGAUUUGGAUUGAUACCAAAUUUUGCAGUAUAAUACUCCUAUAUGAAGGGUAUCUCUCUAUCAAAUUUCGUGGAAAAAAUACCUUCGGAAAGGUGGUUAACCAAUCAACCAAAGUUUGGAAAAAUUCUCAAGGCAAUCUGCCCUUAAUCCUUUUCUUCCCAAAUCCAAUCGUUUGGCUAAGAAAAUCCUCCAAUCAUGGUUCCUAUGUGAAAAUAAAGUUUAAGAAACAUUCAUGGUACAUUUGGUAGGUGUUUAGCAUCAAGAAAUUCAUUUAGUAAGACCACCACAAAUGUCACGUCAAAUCUGUCCAAAUCCAAGGCUUUCAAGAACAAAACAGUCACCGUAUUUUGAUCAUAACUCACUCAAUUUAACUCGGAUUUGAGCAUGGUUGAUAGUGUUAGAAAAUACAUUCAUAGGGCUGUGAUUUCACAGAAGAAAACGUUUUAAGUUUCAGCAUGCAACUAGCUCGAAAUUAAGCCUAAAGUUGCAGCAUCAUCAAAUCAUUUCGGCAGAACGGAGAAACAGGACAGCCGACUUCAGAUGAAUGGUGUGGCUCACACACCUAAAACCAGAAUGUGCAUUAUACACCGUUGGAAACAUGGAAACGUCUAGUUUUAAAUUCCGCUAACGGCACUUGAUUUCGACGUCGGAGUACGGAGUUAUGGACGAAAUACAAACACUGGUCUGGAUUACGGCGAAACCGUUUUCCAGAUUACUAGUUUUUGAAAUAAAUUCGUUUGACCCACCAAACCUCAGUAUUUUUCAAUGAAAAUUUUUACACAACUACUACAACAUAUAAACAACACAAUCAAGCCAUUAAAUCCUCAAAUUUCUGCAUUAAAGUGACCGAACAGAACAGGGGUAAAAUGGGAACUUUUUGCUUCAAGAGUUCAACAACGUUUCUGGCCACAAUACACCUUUAAUCUACUUCCUUAAGCUCUAAUUCAGCAAUAAAACCAUCACCAAACAUCAUCACAGCCAUCAACCCAAAGUGGGAGUUCAUAGAGCCCACAUUUCCAACAAUACAAGCUACUAAAGUGAAGAUUCCAACUCAAAUGCAUAGAUCAACUUCCAUAAGACAAGUUCAAGGUGCUUGAUUACUACCUACUUUGAUGGCUGGUUUGGACAGAUUUUUCGGCCCCUUGAAGCUUGAAGAAACCGUGGAUAGCUCCUUCCUUUUGCAGCUAAGUUGUUGUCCAAGUGAAAAGCUAAAUGAAUGUGAAGUUUGGUGAGAAUCUAUGGAAGUUUUGGUAAGGAUUUGGAUGAGUUUUGGAAGAAAGAAAUGGUGAAGCUUCGGUUGUCCCUUGCAGCUGCUAGCCAUCCGUUGCAGCAGAAGAAAUGAAAUGAAAUGAAAUGCGGUUCUGAAGCCUUUGCGUACGAAAGACGCUUGACGUCAAAUCUUUUAAUACGUCAAAUCAAUUAUAACUAGUACCCUAAGCGCGCGUUUUGUGUUCGAUUUCUCUUACGUUUGUUGCACUAGUGCACUAAACCUCUAAGACACUUACAUUUAUAUAAAUAUUUUUCAUUCUUAAUUGUCCCAAAAUAAUGGUCCAAAGUCCCCCAAUUAAGCGCGCACGUGAAACCACGUACUUCUAAUUUAGGCGCAAUAAAAAUUGAAACCUUUGAGAAAUUCCUAUAACGAUCUUACCACUAACUAUCACUUCAAUAUUUAAACCUAAAAUUGCCUAUUUUAGGACCAUUGUAUAUGUCUUAAAUUUUUGAGCUUAUUGUACCCCUAAUUGGCUAAAGUUUUCAGACACGUUUUCACUUUUUCACUAAACAAGCUUCUAAGAAAAUAAUUUUUUUGAAACGAGACACUUUAAAAAUAUAACGAAGCUAUAAAACCAUAUAUUUAGGUCUAAUAAGGAUAGAAAAUAAUAUUCGGGCAAAAAUCCAAAUAGAUAAUUAAUUGAGCCAAAAUUAGGGGUUUAAAAAAUAAUAAUAAUUUUACGAGUCCUCACGUGAAUUGAGUAUUAAUUCCUCAAUUAACCUUUCUUAAUCUAUUAUUGAUCAUUCUUAAUUCUCCAAUAUUAAUACACUCUCGAUUCAAAUAUAGUCUCGAAAAAUGUGCACUCGUUGUUCCGAACUAAAUGAGUUUUCGAAAAGUGAAUUUUUCCAACAAAACGCUUUUAAAAAUGUAAAAGAGGCGUCGUUCCAUAUAAAUGGAUUUUAAAUGAUCAAAAUAAAUAAUUUGGAGAAAAAUGAGUAAAUAAAUAUUUAAACAAACUACUAAUAUUCGAUAAAAUAAAAAAGAAAUUUUCGGGUCCUCACAAAUAAUAUAAGGUAAUUGUAGGAUAGGGUAAGGGGUCUAAUAAAUGAAAACUCUUACCCAAGCCACCUACUAAUAAAUAAUGCUAGGUUUAGGAUUUUAUUAAAACUCUAGAUAGGAAAAUAACCCUAGCCUUACUUUUCUUUCUUCUGCCCCCUUAGAGCAAGAGCCGUCAGAGAGGAGAGAAAGAGAAGCAGGCAACACCUACAAUCGAUCCGACGACUAGGCACCUAAACCUGUAAGUCUCGAGUUCAAGCAAGAAAACCCCUCUUUUAAGUUUUAGUAGAUGUAUUAAUUGUUCUAGAAAUUUUAUGGACAGGUAUUGUUACUAUAUAGGUGUAGAUAUGUGUUUGAUAAGAUUCGUAUCUGGGUUAAUAGAAAUAGAGGGGAUUGAUUUUAAUCUUGAGAUUAGAGGGUAUUUGGAAUCUAUUAAAAAAAUGAUAAGGGAAAAGAAAGGCAGCGGUUGCUGCCGCUGCUCUGUUAUGCUGCAACGCCACGCGCACAAACAGAAAAGAGUGGGGGGCCGCCAUCUCCGGCGGCUGAGAAAGAACUUUGCAAAGGUUGGCCGAAACCAAGACCGAAGCAAAACAAAACAAAAAAAAAAGGGGGACAGCAACAACCAAACAAGUAGCAGUCAAGAAUGGCGGCUGCCAAAGCUUGACAAAAGCUUUGGCAAAGCAACGCCAGUGGAGUAACCCUACGGGAAAAAAAAUUCUUUUUUUAAUCAAUCGUAAUGACUAUAGUAAAUAAGUAAACAUAUAUAAAUAUGUAUAUAUAUAUAUUGGCAAGUAUGUGUGGGUUAAAGAUACAGUACGGGUUUAGUAAAUAUGCAGUAAAUAAAUUUUAGAAAAUAACUAGUCCAUCUUUAUAGUUUAUCAUAGGUAUUAAAAUUCAGGACCCAAUUUAAAAUAAUUGUUAGAAUUGAAAGGUUAGUCAUAUAAAAUUAUACUUAGUUAAUUACGUAUAAGGUACUUAAAUGGAAAUCUAAAACAUCUUAAUCUAGCCGUCUUAAGCCACAUCAGACAAGGUAAGGUAAGUGCUAAAUUGCUAAACGGAAUGCUUAAAAUAAUAAUAAUAAUAAUAAUAAUAAUAUAUAAUAAUAUAUAUGUGAAGAUAAAUAUAAUAAUAAUACUAGUGGUAGUAGUAAUAGUAAAUAAUAAUUAAUAAGACAAUGAUAGUGAGAAUAACAAUAAUGUGGACGUGGGGGAAAUAAAUGAAGAAUAUAAACAAAAAUAAGAUAUAAUUACGAGUGAAAUAAACUAAAACAAUUAUAGAAAGUCAGUAUGUAUAAGUGUAUGGGUAGAUAUAUAUAUAUAAAUAAUAAUAAUACCUACACACGCCUAAAAGUGGAAAUAAAGGGGAAGGUAAUAGUGACUACCUAAUAUAUAUAUAAGUGAUAAUAAAAUAAAUUAGCGAUGACGGGGAUGGUGAUAAUAAUAAUGGAUAAUCAUAUAUUAUAAAUAAACAUAGUAAGAUAGUAGUGAGGAUAAUAACCAGGAUUGUGAAUAAUUAUUUUCUAUUAAAUUAGGAAACUUUACAAAAUGAGCACUUUCCAAAUUACGAAACUUUCUAAAAAUAGAAACUUUUCAAAUUAGGAAACUUUCCAAAAAUAAAAAUCAUCCAAUUUGGGGCAAAUGCUAUUAGGGUCCAUAUAAUUGUCUAGAUAUGAAUACUGUACUUACUUAGAGGUUGUAUAUUUAUGCAUCUAUAGGAAGUAACAACUGAUUAGGGAACCUAUACAUUUGAUAGGUGCAAUACAAGAACCUAAGGUAGUUCUACUCGAGCAGCCAAACGAAGGUAGGUGGUACUUACCCUUCUGAGAUUUCAAAUGUGCAAAAUGAAAUUCUUGUUUCAAUACUAUUUUGUUGUGUUGACUCGAAAGGUGUUUGAUUAAAUGCUUUACUUGGAUAUUUAUGAAAGCUAUAUUUUACUAUACAAAAUGGACCAUGUAACUUAUUUAAAAUGUUUUGCUAUGUUCUUAUAUACAAAAUGAGCUGAAUCUUUUAUGAAAACAAAGAUUUGUGUAUAUGAUAUAUGAAAUGAAUUUUGACAAGUAAGGCUCAGGGUAGUCAUGGAAUAGACGGUAGGGGCUAUAGUCCUGUCUAAUCACCAUGGUAGCCUGGUAUAAAGUCCGGCCGAUUGGUAAAGUCAUGGUAGUCUGGUAUAGAGUCCGGCCGAUUGACAAAGCCAUGGUAGCCUGGUAUAAAGUCCGGCCGAUUGACCCAAGAAUGAAAUGAGAUCAAUCGAUAGUCGCGAAAUCUAUUGGUCGCCCAUCUAGAAGGGGUUUAAUCUCUAGGUUGAGUACUCAGUAGCCGGUCAUUACAUGUACUUGUUAUGAGUUGAACUGAAAGAAGGUUUAUGAGUUAAUAUGAAAUGACUUAUGGGCUGAUUUGAAAUGAUCUAUGAACUGAAAUGCAACGUUUUAUAGGACGAUUCAUGACUGGAUACGAAGAGACUUAUGAAUUGCUAUAAAGUGAUUUAUGACGUUACGAUUUCUCAUGUAUAAUUAUCAACGAGAUGCUUUUAAAUUGCUUGUCAUUCUUUACUACUGAUUGUUUAUAAAUGACGUUACUUUCAAAAUUAUGGAUGUGAAUGAUUUGCAAAUGAUUUGAGUUGUACUUAUAUAUAUAUAUGUAUCUAUAAAACUAAGAGUGCAUGGUCCAACAGAGGGGUAAAUAUUACCUACUGAGCGAUGUGUCGCUCAACCCACUUCUUACCAUUUUUGCAGAUUCUGAAGAGUAUGAAUUGGUUUACGUAGAAGACCCUGAGAAUGACUUUUAUUAGUUUAGAUGAAAAGAAGUGGGCAAGCUAGCUACUUCUAGUUGUUAGUUUUAUUUACUUUUAUUUCCGCUGUUUCAACCAAAGAAUAAAUGUAUGAACGUCUGGAACAUUUGUAGACUUUCUUUUAUACGUGGUUUGUACCGCACUUUAUUUAGUACCUUUAAAGUUAAAUUAGUUAAUGUAGCCUUGUAUUCUUGAGUGAGACUUGGGAGUACGGCGGAUGUCAUGUGACGGGCACGUACGGGCUCGGGACGUGACAUUUUUAGUGGUAUCAGAGCCUAGGUUACAUGGUUUGGGAGUGUGACAAAUUAUGUUGGGAUAUUAAUGAUUUUGGAAAUUGAAAGGAGAAAAAAAAAGAUCAAAAGAGAUGAGAUAUUGCUGUGACUUUUUAGUAGUACCAAAUCUUAGGUUAUAUGGUUCGGAGGUAUGUGAAAGGUUGAUUGGGAUAUUAGGGAUUUGAGGAUUGAAAUGAGAAAAAAAAAAUUAAGGCAAUAGAGAUUCUCGUGAUUUUUAAUGAUAUCGAAAUUUAGGUUAUGCGAUCUAGAAGUAUGUUAAAUAAUGUUUGUAAUAUUAGUGUUUUUAGGAAUUGGAAUGAAGUUGGAUAGAAGGCUAUGAAAUAAGAUAUUUCCAUUACUUAGUGAUAACAGAGUCUAGGAUACGAUUUACUCUUUAGAGGAAAUACACACUAGGAAAUGAUUAAUUGUGACUGAAUAAAUAGGUUUGGAAAUUUGCAUGUGUGAUUUAAGUUGAAAUGGUACUAUAGUUGUUUAUGAUGUUGAUUUAUUGGAUAUGAUUUUGAUUGUGCAUUUUAAGUUUAAGAUGUCGGAUGUGUAGGAAAUAUUAUAUAUAUUUGAAGUAUUGUCUGCAGGAAAUUGAAAGUACCAAAGAAUUUAAGUACGUAUGCAAUACAUGUUGGACCUUGGAAUUUCGUUGACUUAUUUUGAGGUUUAGAUCUAAUGCUCAAGACAUUUAUUAAACAAGCUGAUAUUAUUAGUUCAAGUAUUAUUACAUCAUAAUCAGGCAAACAUAUUUUAUAAAUUUCUUACAAUAUAUAAUUUUACAUAUUUCUUUCCUAAAAAUGAAUAAAUGGUGAAACCAAAAUUUUAUUUGUGCAAAUAGUUUUUAAUCAGAAUUUUUAAAUAUGUACCUUUACCUUGCAGUUGUUUGGUAAAUAUAGUUUCUAAAUAUAUAUGUAUAUAUCUAUAAGAAAAAAAAAGAAUCAAUACAUUAAAUAAUUAUAUCCUAUAAUCCUGUGCAAAAUAUUUUUUUAUAUAUAUAUUCACCCAAUCUCAAAAAGGGCUUUAGCUAAAUGUAUUCUGCAAAAAUAUAUAUAUAUAUAUUUCUUAUCGUAUAAAAAAUUUUUUUUUAAAUAAUUCUUGAUAAAUUCUCUUUGUAUUCUAAAUUCUAAUGAUGAAAGAAGUAUAGUUAGUUGACUUAUGUAUUUCAAAACACUUUCAAUUUUCUAAACUUGUGUGAGUUUGAAAUUCUAUGCAUAGAUAAUACUUUACCAAGGUUAUGAUAGAGUUAUUAAUUUUCUAUAUGAGAAUUUGGUAUUUUUUUUUGUAUAAAAUUUUCUGUAUUUUUGUAUCAUCAAGGAGUUUGUGAAAUGAUAUUUGAGAUAUUUUCAAAAAUUGAAUUGAGCUAGGAAAAAAAAAAUGACCAAAGGGAAUGAGAUUCCCAUGGCAUUUAGUGGUAUAAUAACUUAGGUUAUAAGAUCUAAAAAUAGGAGUGAUGCUAUUUGAAAUGAGAUAGAUAUCAGAUUUGAGGGAAAUAAGAGAUUUCCAUUACCAAUUACAGUGGGCAGGAACCCAUAUGUCGAGAUAAUGACUACUUUUUGUGAUAGUGGAUAAAUAAGUUGUGAUAGAAUGUGUGACAAAUGAAGAAAUGGUACUAUUAGUGUCUAUGGCAUCCUUUCUAUAGGGUGAUAUCUAUAGAGCGUUAUAAGCCAAUAUUUAGAAUGUUGGAUUGGUGAGAGAUAUUAUGUUCAUCUUAAUUAUAUAAAUAUGAAGAUGGGAGGUAUUGAGGAAAAUAAGAGUGCGUAGCAGAAGCUUGAUGGAAUUAAAUAAGGAAAUCUAAUUUAGACAUUAUAAGAAUAAUUCCCAAAAUGUUUUGUAAGAGCAUUGAAAAUUUUGUUAACUUAUUUUAAUGUUUAUGUCUUUUAGGUUUUGAGGACGAAACCUUUAAAGGGGGAGAGAAUGUGAUAUCUAGUCUAAAAAUGAAUUGCGAAAGUAGUGUCGAAUUAGGAUCCUAAAUUCACGUCUAGAUUUUGAUCGACCUACCAAGAUAUUAUGGGGACUGACCCGAGACUAAAUACCACCUUCCACUCCCAAAUGGAUGGACAGUCAGAGAGAAUUGUACAGACAUUGGAGGACAUGAUAAGAGCUUGUGUUCUAGACUUCUCGGAUAAUUGGGAUGGGUUAGUAAAACUAAUGGAAUUCUCAUACAAUAAUAGCUAUCAUAGCAGAAUAGGUAUGGUACCAUUUGAAGUGUUGUAUGGACGAAAGUGUAGAUUUUUCUUAUAUUGGGAUGAAGUAAGUGAAAAACUAAUCAUUGGCCUCGAUUUGGUGGAACGAACUUUGGAAAAGAUUAAGAUUAUUCGGGAAAGAUUAAAAGUAACUCAGGACCGAAACAAAAAGUUGGACGGACUCAAAAAGGACACCUUUAGAGUUACAACCAGGAGAAAAAGGUAUAUUUGAAAGUAUUCCCUGUGGCGACCCCACUUCCCCCUAAGGCGAACCAAAGGGUUGGCAGGCCGUCUGCCCAACUCUCGCCAGGACUCACGCAAGCAACACGCAAGCAAUCUAACCCAAAACCUUUCGAAGAAUAACCUAAUCUAUUACAAAACAAUUCCUCCGAAGUAGGCCGUCACUAAAACCACAUUAACUUCAGAGAUAGCAGUAAUUUAAAAUAGCCAAACGACGGCUCCUAAACAUCUCACGCAUUGCGAACUGCGGAAUAGAAUCGUACCGUCCCAACUAAGCAAAAAUUCAUACAACAAAAUACAACAAUCAAGCCAAGCAUCCAAAUUAAGUUUUAUACAUUUUCCAUCUUCAAGUGGCAAUCCAAAAUAAAAAGUACAUAAUCCAAAUUUAACACACUACAGCCCACACAAGUAGUCAUAGUAUACAAAUACAUCCCAAAACGAAACAUGGAUAAGUUUCAAAGCUUUCAAUUUCCAGAACCUGUCAAGAAAAACAAAUAAACAUGGGGUGAGCUAAAGCUCAGUGGUGCCCCAAAACAUGCAGUCACGUAAAUCAAACAGCGAGUAAUAACUUAACCAAAUUGAACAGUUAGGAAAGCGUAUAACAGCACAAGAUAGGAUACAGGGGCUCUCAGGAGCCAUUUCCCUCGCUUGAUCACCAUUCAUCGUAGUUGACCCUCUGUCAACUCUCACUACUUAUGAUCCAUGUAGAGUGUCUCAUUUUGUUACCUAACCCGUCACCAUUCAUACCCCUAUUCCGGGCCCGAACGCCGACUAAGGAAGCAGUAUACUCGAGAUAUACCCUUAGAUAAUUGGAAGCAGUAUACUUGCGUAUACCCUUAGUUAAUUGGGAGCAGUAUACUUGAGUAUACCCUCAGGAAAUUGGUCGAGGGAUUCACCCAGCGACAUUUCCGUAGUUGGAUUCAGAAGUCGAGGGAUUCACCCAACGACGCAACUACAUUUAGAUUCAAGGAUUCAUGAGAAAAAUGUUUCACGCAAGUCACCACUCGAACGGCUAGUGCGAUAAAGUACACACUGCUCACUUCGAUGGAUCAAAAGCUAGUUUUGCAAGUUAUCACAUAUCGAGUCAAGAAAGCACUUUAAUCAAGUAGGAAUACAACAAGCAGGGACACUCACCAAGAGUGAAGUUACUGAUCAAGCUGGGAAUCAAAAUCUGCGUCCUCGCUAAACCCUAAAAACCAAAUUUUUGAAACUAUAAGUUCUCUAUUCAAUUUUUAAGCUUGUACGUAUUGUGGAUUAUCUAGUAUUUUACUAAUUAACCUUCUCAAAGAAAUUUCAAAAACUCUACUUGGGUUGAAGCUUGGCAAAAGUAACAGAAAUGUUUCUUAUAGUUUUCCUUGAGGUACUUUUCCUUAUAAAAGGGUAACUAGUAUUAUUUUCUUUAAAUAAGUCGACAAACCACUUAAUGUCAAAGCUAGAAAGAUACUUUGAAAAAAUUUCUUUAACGCUACGGUCCUUGCAAAAAUUGUCCAUAAAAUUAUAAGGUUUCUUGCCUAGCAAGUUUCUACGUUUUUAAUUAAAGUUAUUAAAAAUUCGUAUUUUGGAACUUUUCCUAUAGUCAACUAUCCAACGGCAAAUCUUAAAGAAGGAAAAGGAAUUAAAACAAGGCUUAGGGUUUUCAAAUGCUAGAGAAAUUAUUUUCUAUAACUGUUAAGGCUAGUUUAAGCUAAAGGAAAAUUGUCGGGUUGGAAUAAUUUAGGCAAAAUACUAAGUACUGCAUUUCAUCAUUUAAUACUAGUGAAAAAAAAUAUUUUUGGAUUAGCUUGAUCAAAAUUACUCGAGUUUACAUGGUCGAAACGACUUUCAAAAUUUUGAUUCCAUUUCGAAAUCAUAUUCUAGAUCAAAUUUGUCGAUAUGGCAAAAUCAUAUUUCAAAUAGCAAAUCACUAGGGCUUCUUCAAUCAUUUGCCCUAGAUUUCAACAGAUUCAUUUUCAAUUGAAACAAAAUAUAUAACCAAGGCUUCGCCAAUCAUUAGCACUUGGUUUUGGCAAGCUCAUAUCACAUCUUAACUUAAUCAAAACAAAGCUUAAAGGUUCGCUAAGCAUAUUAGGCAAGUACAUCACCAAAUCAGUUCAAAAUCAAGGUAGUAAGCUGCCCCAAAAUUUGGACAGCAUAACCCCUGUUUUAUCCUAUAUUUCCUCUCCAAAUUCAAUACAAAAUUUCAUGGCCAAACCAUCCAAAUCAAGACCACAAAUGAUAGGCUAUACAAGCUACUAGUUUCAGACCAUAAAGCCACCAAAAAUAGACAAGUAUUCAGCUCACAUAUCUCCAUACCAAGGCUGGCCGUCAAGCAAAAGUUCAACUCCACAAGCUUAAAUUUCCAUAAGCAAACUAAUGGAACAUAUGCAAGUUGGAAAAAUUACAUGACAUGGCUAAAAUAUAUAGUACACAUGAUAUUAGCAUUUUAAUACUCAUUUUCAUUUUCCUUAACUAAAACGGGAAAUUUAUUGCUUGGGACAUGAAAUAUGUAAAAGUGAAGUUUUCACCUCUCAAAACCUUUCAUUUUCUAUUCCAAUUCACUACUCAUACCAAAGUUAAUGUUUAAUCACGUGUUUAGGACAUUAACAAGUUGAUUUCACCACACAAAACCAAGAAUAAAGCUAAAUAAAAUCACUCUCUCUUUCAGUCAGCCUCAAGGAGAAUUCCAGCCAUGAAAACAGUGAAAUAAAUGGAGUUUAAAUCACUUAAGGUCCAUGGUUUUGGUUCAUUUCCAACACAUACUUGUAGUUUAAAGUCUUCUAGGGUGUUUUGAACAAAUUGAGCUUAAAAUCAUCUUGAAAAUUUAGCGAUCAAAGCUAAAAUUCCAGCAAGCAUUCUUUCUUUAGAAAAAUUAUAACUUAAGUUAUAAAUGUCGAAAACUCAUACAAAUUAUCUCAUUUAAAACCAGACUUGAAUACUAACAAUCUUUAGCAGACAUCUCAAGGAGAUUUGGUUCAUAAGUUAAUCCAAAUUGAGUCACAAGUUACCACAGCAUCCCAAUUUUUACUUGUUCAGGACCGAUUUUUCAGUCAACUUUGCUGAUUUUCUGGUGCAUAUAUAAAAUGAACCACAGCUCCAAUUUUAUACCAUUGGAAAGAUCUAUGAGUCUAGUUUCAAACGCAAUUGACGGUAUUCAAUUUUGAUUUUUCUACGCUAAGUUAUGAUCAUUUUGCUAAAACUGCCUAGAGGUGACUGUCACCUGAAGUUCAAGCUUUCUUAGACAAUUUUUCAGCCAAAUCAAUGAACAUACAACUAUGAUUCAACCAUAUAAACAUACCAACUUCUAUAUACACAGUUGUCAUGAUACAAAACAUGAAAUCUUUGUAAAACUUCACUCCAAAUGCAAAGUACAACUGAUAUAUCCGGCUUUAUGCAAUCAGUCAGUCCAUGCUCAUUAACUUAACAGAUUUUCAAGCAAAGUUUCUUCACAAAUCAAGUUUUAUUUCUCCUGAAGGUAAAGAAUACAAUAUGUGCAGGUCCUAGAAAGAGAAAUAGGAGAUAUAUACGGUAAAUUUAAAUAAAUUGCAGCAAGAUUUCUUGGGAGAAAGGAACCAAACUUGCAGCCUCACUCCAUUGGUUUCACAGGAGUUAUUCAACUUUGUUGCUGCCAAUUUUCUCACACGUAAGCCACCAAUUUGCUACCAAAAUCAGCGACAACAUGCUAUAUAUCAUACUAAACAAGAAAUACAACACUUAUAGCAUGAAUUCCUAGUGGAAACUCCUCAAAAGGUUGAAAUAAGAGGCUGUAAAUUGAACUCAUUUCCCCCUCGGUCAAAGCUGGAAAUCUUCAGCAUAUAAAUCAACUUCUAAUGAGGGUACUUUCCCACCAAAUUUCCAUUUCCAUGGCUAGAACUAACAUGCAUCAAUCAUCUCACUGUGUCCUGAGAAAAAUGGAAAGUUUGGCUAGCAAGUUUACCUUUGAUCUUGCAAGAAUGGAAGCUGCAAUGAAACUUAUAGCUUCAACUUCUUUCCCCACGAUUUUUUUUUUGAGCUGGAAAUUUCUGCCUUUCUUCCCCAAUUCUUGGCUAGGAUGCGUUAUAAUUUUCUUGUUUCUUGAUUGAUGUUCAAGAUUGAAGAAAAAGAAAAGAGGACUGGUUGGAGUUUCUUUCGGUUUCUCUCAGCUCUUCUCUCUCGGCUGCAAGAAGGAGGGGAAAGGAGCUCUCCCUCUUAUUUCUCUCAGCUUUUCUCUCUUGGUUGGUGUUAAAAAAAAAACAAAGGACCAGUCUUGUUUUUGUUUUCUUUCUCUCACUCGGUUGAACUGAAGAAAAGAAGCAAAAGGGAGUAAAUUUGGUCAACAUUUGCAUGCUACUUGGAAUGGUCAAAAAUGGAGGCAAGGAGCAAGAUAUUUUGUUGAGCAAUAUCUCUCUCUCUCGGUUGGAAAUGAAGACAAAACACACUAGUUUCUCUCAAAGCUCUCUACUUUCUUUGCUGGACAAAUGAAAAAGACAGGUCUCUCAACUCUUCUCUCUCUCAGGCCCAACAUGAAGUGAAGAAAGGGGAAAAUGGCUCUCGAUCAAGCUGAAUAGAAACAAGAAAGAAUGGAAGCUGUUUUGACUCGGUCAAAAUUUGUGGCUGGUCAUGCAAUGAGCAAACUAUCCCUCUCUUGGUUCCUUGGUUAAAUGAGCUGGAGUUUCUCUU